UGAAUUAUGUGUGUUUCGUUUGUUGUUGUCACGACUUUUGGAGUAAAAACGUUGUCCAUUAUUUCCAACAGGGAAGUGCCCGCGUUGAGUAAAAUUUGUUGAAACUAGCGGCUGCAUGGUUUGUUGUUCCAACCGACGAAGAUAACUUUCAUGGCCAAUUAACAAAUCAUGUAGCUCCUCAAACUGAAUGGGAUAUUCUCUGGCUUGUAUUGGUGCAACAAUUUCACUAAAGUCUGGACCCAGUCCAUUUAAAACAUAAAGAGUCAGAUCAUCAUCAGUAACAGGAUGAUCAAUCCUGGCAAGUUCAUCAGCUGUGAGUUUAAUCGCCUGGAUAAAUUUAGUGACAGUCCUACUGCCACGAUGAUCGAGGGUGAGAUUUUCCUUCAACUGUAUUGCACAGGUGCAUGAUUUUCCUGCAUACAAACAUGUUAGUUUGUUCCAAGCUUCAUAGGAGGUUUUGCAUGAAGCAAGUAGAGGUGUGAUGGUGGUGGAUGUUGAGGCUAGCAAUGCAUGAAGAAUCAAUUUAUCUUGGCGAAUUUUCAGUGAGAGUUUGCAGCUUUGGAGACAGCAGAGUUUUCAGUAUCAACUGCAGGACACUAGAGAUCACUAGUAACAAAAUUCAUGAGAUCAUAGCCAAUAAGUAAGGCUUCAAACUGUGCUCUCCAUUGUGGAAAGGUGGAGGCUGUAAGUUUUUCAUUGAUGGCAAUAGCAGAAUUGAUAGUGAUGAUUUGGUCAGGGGUUGAAUUGAUGGAUGCGGAAGAAGACAUGGUGAAGGUUUAGGAACGAUACUCGUUAGAGAUUGAAACGCUCUGAUACCAUAAAGGAGAAGACAAAAGUUUUGAAUUUUGCUUAAUUCAUUCAAACUGCAAAACGUAAUAUAUAUAUAUAUAUAGAAUACGGAGUGCUAAGUAUGGAAGGCUUAUAAAGGAAAGAAUACAAACCGAAUCCCUAAUUCUAGCUGAUCCCUGAUUCUAGCUAUAGUAAUAGGAAAAAUACAAGAAACCGAUCCUAGCUUUACAGUGACUAAUCCUUGAUUGUAGCUUGCAGUGAUUAUUGAUUUAUACUGUCAUGAAUCUUGUUGUUGCAUGAGUUGAUCAUGCAAUAAUAAUUUGCUGAAUCCUGCUGUUGCAUGAGUUGAUCAUGCAAUAAUAAUUCACGUGAGUUGGCAGUGUGAUCUCCCUUGAUACUAUCAUAAAUCAUGCAAUAAUAGCUUACAUGAGGUGGUAGUGUGGUUUUCGUUGAUAUAGUUUGCUUUAGUCCCUCCCCUCUAAAAGCUUGAGUUGUAUUUGUAUUUGGAUUAAAUUUUAACUUCACAACUUUCUUUUUUUUUUUUUCACUGGAAAAUGUUAAUAAUUUCCUGGAAAUUAACCUUGCCAUGGAAAACAUUCAGCAGAGUUUUUAUGAGCACACGAUCACAAACAUCAAGACCACGCAAAACAAGCACACAAGUUUUCUUAAGAAUAAAAAUACAAGUAAUCUAUCUUGCCUCUAACACUGAAACUGAGCAUACGUUUGCCGAAGGUGGUUUGCUCUCGCUCGAUGAAUAGCUUGCUCCAACAAGAUCCCUUUCAGUGAAAAAUCCUGGUUGUUUAGGAUGAGGCAAUUCAUCUUCAUUACCCAACAUCAAAACCACAUAUGACAUGUUUGGUCUAUCUUCUGGAUUUUCUUGCACACACAACAGCCCUACAUGAAUUGAACGUAGCACUUCAGACAAAUAGGGUGUUUCAACUUUUGAUCCCGCAGCCAGUUCCAGAGGCCUGCCUUGUUUGAACAGUCUCCAAGCCUGAUAAACAAAACCAUGUUGUCAAUAACACAUUGAAGAUUUAAGGUGCUCAGGUCUCAUUAAACAUGCGCGGCAUUUGGUAUCUGGAAUAUAUUGAAGUUAAAGAUAAUCUGUGACACCUACAUGCCCAAUAAGGUUGAGGUGGUGAUCUGGAUGAUGGAAUCCUCUGUUCUUAUAGCCACUCACUAUCUCUAGCACCAAUACUCCAAAGCUGAAGACGUCUGAUUUUAGGGAGUAGAGCCCAUAAUUUGCGUACUCUGGAGAUAUGUAACCACUGCAUGUAUUCAUAGAAUUUUAAGUUUCAUUUGCAGACUAUGAAGAUAAAAUGCGUAUGAUAGAAAUGACACUUACUACGUUCCAGCCACUUUAUUAGUAUUGGCUUCAGUUUCAUUUUCUCCAAAACUUCUAGCCAGGCCAAAGUCUGAGAUUUUUGGAUUCAUUUCGUGAUCCAACAAAAUAUUGCUGGUUUUUAGAUCUCUGUGGAUUAUUCGUAGUCUCGAAUCUUGGUGAAGAUAAAGGAGUCCUCGAGCAAUCCCGUUGAUGAUGUUGUAGCGCUUAGGCCAAUCUAGUAGCAAGCUUCGAGUCUCAUCUGCCCAAGUCAAUCCAUUACAUCUCUUAUCAGAUUCAUAAAUGUUGGUGAAGGAACAAGAAAAAAGGAGAUGAUAAGUUACGAUCACUGAAUUUUGAGUUACAAUUACAUAUGCAAAAUGAAAGUGGAAAACUCUUCCCCUGCAAAGCCAGCUUCCCAAGGGCUUUGAACGAUGCUCAAUAGAUGGCUAAACAAUUGAUGUCAUAUCCAUUAUGGAAGCUCAAUAGUGCUAGAUUUGAAACAUUGGAAUAGCUUUUUGAAAAGUUCUGUGAGAUUCAUACCAAAAAUGUAGAAGUCCAAGCUUUUGUUAGGCAAAAGCUCGUAGACCAACAUAUUUUCAUCUCUUUCAAUGCAGCAUCCAAGAAGCCUCACUAGAUUCCGGUGCUGAAGUUUCACGAUAUGUUUGACUUCAUUUUUGAACUCAUCAAGUCCUUGUCUUGAAUUCUUAGAGAGCCUCUUGACAGCUAUUUCUCGUCCAUCUGUUAAUGUUCCCUGUAAAUAAUUACUCGGCAUCAUAAGCAAAUCAUACGUUGUCUGCCUGAAUUCUUAGAGAAUUUCAUGCAGCUUGUAUCUGUUCAGGAAUUCUUUCCAAUCAGUCAUCCUUUUAUGCUAAAAAAAGGUUGGUUCUGUAGUGGAACAAUUUCAAUACCACAGAACUCCAUUGGUUCCUGGAGUUUGUACCAUGAAAAGUCAGAAGCUAUAUUGCACGGCUGUUUAAAGAUAAUUAUUACCUUAUAAACAGGUCCGAAACCCCCUUCCUAGUUUAUUGGAUACAGAAAAGUUAUUUGUUGCACAAGCCAACUCAUCCAUGUUAAAGAAGGGUAAUUCUAGUUCCUUCAAGUCUUGUUAUUUGAUCUUCUUUGCAAAUUACCUGUCAUUUUUCCUGUCAGGAUAACUGUUAUGCUUGUUGAAAAAAGAAAGAAAGACAAAGGAUCUCUAUUUGCUGCUAAACUCAAGAUUUUUAUAGCAUCAAACAAAACUGGGCUUUGAACAACUUACAGUCAUACCUUAUAUUACUGAAAAUCAAAUUCAAUUUUUUUUUUUUUUAAAAACCAAUCUUGUAUCUGAUGAUCCAGGACUGGUGCGAUAGGAAUACUUAGAUUUUGAUGGUGUGAAUACGUACUGUUUUUCUGCUGCUUCUUUUUCCAAACAUACAAGACCAAGCAUAGGCCAAUGCACAGAAUCCCAGUGGACAACACAGAGCUUACUAUGAUCCUUUUCUUCACUUUGGAUUUGCUAUUAGCUUUCGCAGAGUCACCGUUAUCUAUAACAUGGUACAGAAAAACUGGUGUUAAAAAGAGGAAAUGCCAAAUGCCUUCUGUAUUUUUUUGGUUAGUUAUUAUGGAUGGAAAGUUUUCAUUGGCCAUAUAAGAUCUGGAUCAUUCAAGCAAGGAAACUCUGUUGCUGAUAGCCUUGCAAGGAAAGGUUUGGAUACGCUCAGAGACUAUAUAGCUUGCUUUUAAGAUUUUUAAACGUUGUAUCAGCUUACUAGUUUGAAUAUAUUUAGAAUUUUAAUAAUAAUAAUAAUAAUAAGAAAAAAAAACGACUUCUCUAAUCUGAGGAAAAAUUCAUACCUAGUUCUGAUGCAGCCAUCCGUAUAAAAAUGUCUUGCUCAUUUUGAAGGAUAGUUCUCAUAUCAAUCAAAUCAUUGAACCAAAGCAAGCAACCGCUUCCUCCAUCCCUGAUGUCCAAGUUUGCAUACGCAGUACAGCUGCAGUUCUUCAAGCAUGUGUUCUUGCACUCCUCCAGGUUCAUACUCCUGUUGAACCAUGAUUUUCUUGUCUCCGGCAUCUUCAAUCCUCUGAGCUUCCGAAACCCAUCUCUGGAACCAUUUAGUGCAGUCUUUCUAACGCAACCACUUGACCAAUCUGUCUUCUUCCAGUCUCUUGGAACUUUUGGUACAAAUCCAUUCAAGCAAUCGCAAACUGGAGAGUGGUCAAUGCUACAGAUACCAUUUGCGCCACAGAGGUUAUAACGCUCACAAUUAUCUGUAUUUGCUGUCGAGUAAAGAAACCAGCUUUGGGUUUGCUCCAUCCACAGAAGGAUCAUGAAAUCACAACUCUGAAUUAAGACGACUCUCCAAUGCGUUGAGUUAUUAACAACAUUUUCUCUGUAAAAUAUCUCCUUAUCAUUAAAAACAAAUUCAAAUGUGUAUAUUGGAUUUGGUUUUAACCGAGGCAAGCCACUGAACCCCAGCCCAUUCCAUGGCCCACUUCGAUACUUCACCUUUGAAUCUUCAAACGCUGCAUACUCCGGAUAUCCAUCAGGAAUAAGGGCGCCUGUAACAUUACCUCUGGAAGGAUCAUCUUGUGACUUCCAUGAUGUCAAGUGCCACUCCAUGCCAGUUAUUAUAUUCCGUCCCAUCUUCAUGCCCGGUAAUAGUGUGUUAGAUGGAUGUUCAAAACUCUGCCACAAGGAAUUUUCCAUGUUAUUAUCACCCUCCUCUUUCACAACAAGGUUUCCUGAAUCCAAAAGCUGUGCAACUGGAUUCCUAGCAGGUGCUGAUGUGUUGGAAGACCAAAUGAUGCUUCCACUACGAUUGAGAAGGACAAGAAGUCCUUGGUUGGUAAGCUUUACAACUCCUGAUGAAUCGUUAAGUGGAGUUUCUCUGUUGGCAACCCAAACUGCUGUCUGUACAGAUAUUUUGCCAUACCAUAUCCCCAAGUAUCGGCUUUUGGAUUUCCCGGGGCUGAAAAAUCCUAAUUCAUAGGUCCCGCCAGCUGAAACUAUAGUGUCUCCAUCUCUAAUGAACUGGGCUGUGUUUAUGGUGUCAGUAGGUGUGGCUGUUCUUACAAUCAGAAACGAAAUGAAGCAGAAAACAAGCAUGGGGAUGUAGUCCAUUGGUGCUCUCACUUUGUUAUAUUACAAAAUGGCUGGCCUUGCUAGAUGUGAAAAUAUUCGUCUCAAGGAAUUGCCUAUUUAACAUCACAAUUAGUCUACAGAGAACGCAAGACUCUGGAAAUUAUUGGCUCUGAAGUGACCCUUGUGUUCCAAAAAUGGUUGACACUGCUUUAAACAUCAAGCUUAAGGAAUCAUUUACUUUGAAAAUUUAGGCUAGUGGACUCUGAAUUACGAACCUAUAAGCUUAAGAUCUCUUUUCCAUUGCUUGAGUUCGUUGGAGUACCUAAUCUUGGAACACCGGAUGAAUCGCUAAGUGGAGUUUCUCUGUUGGCAACCCAAACUGGCGUCAGGACCGGUAUUGUACCAUACAAUAUCCCCGAGUAUCGGUUUCUGGAUUUACGGGGGCUGAAAAAUCCUAAUUUAUAGGUCCCACCAGCUGAAACUAUGCUAUCUCCAUCUCUAACUGGCUGAGUUGGGUGCUUAGUGUCAGUAGGGGUGGCUACCUUCACAAUCUACAACGAAGCACGGAAAUAUAAUCCAUUGGCACUCUCGUGAUUGUUUCAAGGAGCUCGCUUUGUUAUGUUAUAAAAUGAUUGGCCUUGCUAGAUGUGAAAAAUAUUCGUCUUAAGAAAUUGCCUAUUUAACACCACAGUCAGUCUACCGGUAAACACUCGUCGUCGGAAUUUUUUUGGUUUGUGAAAUUAGCAUGCAUAAUUGACACAGAUAGUCAACACUCAGAGAAGGAAGCUCCGGCGAUGUCAUGUACUAAUGAUUUUACUAUGUUUAAAAAUUAAAAUGAUAAAAAGGCUCUAAUAUCACUUUUAAAAUUUUUGCUUUUAAGAUAAAUUAAUAAUUUUAUUGUAUUUAAAAAAUUAUAUAUAUAAAAAAAACUAUAGCUCCAAUCAAUAUAAUAAUAAUCACUAGAGCAUUCAGAAAGAUAAAACUACUCCAAUCAAUAUAAUUUUUAGUGUUUUCAGAUUGAUAUACUAGUAUUAAAAGUAAUUUAAAAAAAAUAAAAAAUUAUUAUUUUAAUAUAUUUUAGAAUAAAAAACACUCAUAAAUACCCCUAAAUUAUCUAGAUAAUUGAUCACUCCAUCUCAAGAACGACUGUGUUUAGAGCAAUCAACACUCCAAUUGAAGAGUAACUUCUCCAGGAUAAUUUUGAAAAGUUUUUUAUUUAAUAUUUCUCUUUUGCUAUUCUGACAAGGUAAAGAUCCCGUGCUUGAUAUAUUUUUAAAAGAAAGAUAAAUCCUAGAAAAUAAUUAUAGAGUUAUCCAGGAAUUUCUAGACUAAAUAAAAAAAAUAAAAUUACCGAUUAUAAUAUCUGAUUUGUUAAACUAAGUAGGAUAAAAUAAAAUAAAAAACUUAAAGAAAAUAUUUUCUUAAACUAAAUAGAAACAAAUAAAAAUAAUUAAGAAAACCAAUAAAUUUUCUCUAAAAACAAUACAAACCUCGUAAUAAGAUAUCUCAAAACCACUUUUAAAAAAUAAAAUCAAUCAAAUAAAAGAAGAAAUGGAUCCAGAUCUACCUUUCUCAAUAUGUUUAGAUGGAGAUACCAUCUUCAUUGAACUCUUCUUGAGAAGAUAACUCAUCAAAACAAAGAUCAUCAUUUUUAGUUUUUAUAAUAUAGUCAAUCGACAUGCAACUUCUUUUUAUUUUAUCAUUUUUUGACAACUUUUUUUUAUCUUUUCAAAAUCAAGAAUUGAAAAAUUAACAAAAUAAAAUUUUAAUAAAAAUUCUAAAAAUCUUUGUAGAUGUUUUAUAUUGUGAUUCUGUCUCUUUUAAGUUUUUAUCUAGAACAAUUUGAAAUUUUAUUUCAUGUAUUGAUCAUAAUUGUUGUAGAAUUCAUGAUAAUUUAAAAAAUUGCAUAAAUUAAUAAAAAAUUUCAAAAUGUUAUAUUAAAUUACGUGCUAUAAUAUAUUUUUAACAUGAUUUAAAUCAAAUAACAUAUAACUCCUUAAUUAAAAAAAAUAUAAUUACAAACUUAAAAAUUGAAAUUACGUGCUAUAUGUUUCUUGUUAAAAUAGAUCGAUCAUUAUAUGCUUAAGUUAAUGUUAAAAACAAUUAGAUAAUGCUAACUAAAUACUUAGUUAUGAAGCUGAGAAACAUAUGUAUAUUAAGAAAUCUGAUCUUGUGCUACAAGGAGCCCUUUAUUAUUUAUUUAAUUAUAUUAAAAUAAUAUUUUUUUAUAAAAAGAGUAAUAAUUUAAAUUUCAAAGAAAAAAACUAAUUUGUUAGUAUAAUUAAUCCUUUUCUUAUUAAUAUUAUUAAUUCAAGAAAAAAAAUAUAAUUCAUUGCUCUAUCUAAUUAAUUUAAUAAAAAUUAAAAGUAAUCAGAACACACCUAAAAAAACUUGGACAAUUCAAAAUAAGGAUAAAAAAAAUUUUCUUGAACGAAGACUCCUUUGUCUAAUUAACGUGCUAUUUUAAAAAAAAUUUUUGAAAAUGUGUUAAAUAAAACAUAAUUGUGAAAAAAAAGUGAUAAAAAAACAUAAUCUUAUUAAAAAACCAACUAAAAAUUGAAUGAUAUUUAAUGAAAUAACAUCACAAAAACAUUUGAAAUAAUUUAUUUUAAUAAAUCUCAAUUAAAAUUGACGACAACCUAGGUCGGGCAUCCCAAAUGCAUUUUUAAUAAAUCUACUGUAAUUAAUUUAAAUUUAAAUUGAAGAAAAAAAAAUUAAAGGUCAAAAAGAGGACAUGGAACUCAUUUUGGAUAAGCCAACAUGUGUGGUUAAUUUAGAUUAAGAGAGAAGUUGAUAGGGAGAGAAGAAGAAAAAUAGAAGACAAAUGAAAUUAGAGAUUCUGAUCUUUUAAUUGGGGCUUUAUAGCAACAUUAUUACUGAUGGAUAAUUAAAUAUAUAUUAAUUUUUAUAAUUCAUCGAUAAUUCUAUUGGACAUUAAAACUUAGAAUCUUGAAAUUUUGCAAACUCCCCCCUCCACAAGAUUAUCCGAUGAAUUUUAUGUUCGUCAAUGAUUCCGUAUGUAAUUAUUAGUGGGAAAAUCUGUAAUUUUCUUUAUAUUAGUGAUUUUGUCUGUAAUUAUCAAUGGCAAGGUCAGGUAAUUUUUUUUCAACUCUUUAAAACUUUUUGAAGGACUUAGUUUGUGAGUGAUUUUGUCUGUAUUUGUUAGUGGUAACGUCAUAUAAUUGUUUUCUAAUUCUCUAGAACUUUCCGAGGGACUUAGUCCAUCGGUUAUUCCAACUGUGUUACUUAAUAUGUCCGUCAUGUAAUUUUUUUUCAAAGAGUUUUUGCAUUCCAUAUCUAUCCAACUUACAUAUACAGUGAAAUCACAACACAAUAAAAUUAUUUGUGUUCAUAAUAAUAAAAUCACAACAACAAAUGUUUCAUCAGUGUUUAACAAUUUAAUUAGAAUUAUCUUCUUCUUCAUCAAUUUUAUCAUCGUAAUGUUUAUCAUAAUUUUCUUUAUUGAAUUGAUACUUAUUGAUAUCAUCAUCUUCAUCGACUUCUAUAUGUCCAUUGGUUCUCAAUAUAUUAUUUAACUCCUCAACAUUAACAUAAAAAAAAUAUUCUCAAUAAUAUAAAAAUUUUAUUUUUCUUCUAAGUCGGUAGAUGGAGCAACUCGAUAUGCAUCAACUAACUCAUGAAUUUGGAAGACAUCAUUUACUAUAAUUACUUUAUCAUUACCAUCUUGAACAACUUGGACAUGAUAACUGGUUUUGGUUUUCACUAUGAAUAACUAAUCAACUAUAAAACGAGCCUUUCCAAAUGAAGGAGUUUAUGUAUAAUAAAUUUGUGUCCAAUGCUUGGCAAAAAAAAAAAAGACAUCGUCGAUGUUAUGAAAUCUAGACUUUGUAUUAAUUUCAACCAAACUAUGGUGGUAAAUCUACUCUUAUUCCUCUAUCGGUGAUAUCAUACCAAUAAUAUUUGAAUAAAAAAACUUUAUUAAGCUCGCUAUGAUAUUUCAAUUAAAUAACUUCUUCUAACUUUUCAUAAUAAUCAGCUUCAAACUCAUUAGAAAUUGAUUUCUUAACACAAACUCCAUUAUUAUAAGUUUUUCUACCUUAAUCAUACUUUUCAGUAUGAAGGACAUAUUCAUUGAUAAAAUACUUUUUAUAGCACUUGACCUUUCUUUCAAGACCCAAACAAAGUAUGUUCAGACUAUCAUUAACAUUCCCUCUCAAUUAAUAAAUCAGUUAUAUGCUUACAAUGAUUAACAAUUAAAGAGAAAUGUUUAAUGAAAUUAUGUAUUAAUAAAAACAUUCCCUCCCACGUGAAAAAAUUGAGAUUGAGUCAUUUGUGAAUUUUGAAAUAGUACAAAUUAGCGAUGUAGCCUACAAUGAGUUUUUUAAUUUAUUGGUUUAUAAGAGUAUAAGAGAAAUUAUUUAAUAAUAACAACGUGUUAAUAUUAUACUUACUAAAUAAAAUGUCUUAAUUUAUUGUAGUUAAAUAGCAUAAAAUUAUAUACAUGUUCGUAUUCAAUUUUUAUCAAGUAUUUUCCCCUCACAAUAUUUUUUGGUAAAAUUCAUCUAGAAUGGAAAAAUAUUGACAAAUUUCCAUUUGAUGGCACUUCCUCACAUCAUUAUGACUUGGGAAGCGGUCGAUUCUUAUUAUAAAGUGAGGCUUAAAAUAAUACAAGAUAAAUGUUGAGAUCUAUUUAACAAUAUAAGCCUCACAUAUCAAAACCUUAACAUGCUCCUUCUUUUUAUUUUUCUUCAGGUUGAACAAGUAUCUACAUGGAAUUAAAUGAAUGUUUUAAAUUAAAAAAGUAUAAUAGAUAUUUAAUUAAAAUGAAUGUGUAAUCCUUAACCUCUCAAAUGGAUACAUCCAUCUUUACUGAACAAAGCCUCUAAUUUUUACCUCAAAUAGUAGAUUUAUGGGUUGAUACUCCAUUGAGUCGAAGAAUGAUGAAGGGAAUAUCAUCUCAAGUUUUUAGAUUUUCUAGAUGAUAAUUGUUUCAAGUUUCUCCAUGUGUUGGGUAUGUAACUUUUUAGAGCAUAAAUCUCUACAAAAUAGAUUAAUCUCUAAGAGUGCAUCCCAUAUCCUUUUUGGCAAUAAAUCCCGAUAUGCAAAUUGAAUGAGUGUUUAUAUAAACACGUGACAGUCAUAACUUUUCAUUUCAUAUUAUUUAUCAUCCUUCAGAUUCACCAAUCUAGAUAUGUUCAAAGCAUAUCCAUAAGGAAAACACAGACUUUUAAGUCAUUGAUAGACAAGUAACUGUACAUUCUUAUUGAAGGUGAAACUGACUUUGGGCUCUGCGAACCGUGACCCAUCGUAAACUAACUCCACAGUCUUGUAGUGACAAAAUAAAUGUAUAUCCAUUCUUGCAAUCAUGGUCUCCUUUUUCUUUCCUUUCAUAUCCAUUACCGUGUUAAAAAUAUUUUCAAACAUGUUCCUUUUGAUAUACAUGACAUCCAAAUUAUGGAGGAGAAGAUUAUUAUUCCAAUGAGGAAGCUCCCAAAAACAAUACUUUGCUUAACCCAAUUGUUGGUCACACCAAAACCAAUAAAUUUCUGCUUACCGGAUUGAAAACCAAACAUAAAGCCCUUGUAUUGUGAGACCACGCCAUACAAUUCUUCACCCAUGGUACUGAUGGUGCAACAUCCCUUUCAACUUUACCUAUAAAGAAGUCCUUUAUGUUCUUUCUACACUUGUGAUUGAUUGACAAGAACCUUUGGUAGAAAUAUAAAAAGAAGUUUUACCUCCAUUUGUUAAGGUAAAGGCCUUAUGAUUAUCCAUAAAAUAUAGACAUGCUAAUUUUCUAUACAUGCUUCAACCAAAACCAUCCCAUACACAAGAAAAUCAUUGAUAGUCUAUAUCAAAGCUACCAUCAUCUAAAAAUUUUGUUUCCUCAUGACAUCAUAUGUUUCCUCAACAAUUGAAGACAAACAUUCAUAUUCCUAUAUAGACUAUUAAAAUUAGGUAUGAUUGUAUAUAUAUAUAUAUAUAAAAAUAAACUUCGGCAUCAUACACAUUGUUGUUACUCAUUUUUAGGCCCUAUGUGUUGAAGAUGGUGUGUAUCUCUUUUGAACCAAUCGCAGGAGUUUAGCUCAUGGUUUCUGGAAGAUUGACAAAAGCAGAGAAUAAAGAAGUGUUUUUCAAACACUAUUUUAGCUGUUUUCUGCUCUCCUUAUCCUCUCUCUUUGUUGUCAAAAUUGUUAGGAUUAUUAGGAUAAUUAGGAGUUUUCAUAAUGCUAAAUUUGUUCUUUUUUUAUCCGGUCUUUAAGGUUGGAUAAAUCCUCAGAAUUUGCAUUAAAAAAUUGAUUAUGAUGUUGUCAUAAUUUGUUGUAAUACCAACUUUGUUCCAACUUAGACUUUGAUUCUGACUUGAUUUCAUACAAUAUCUGACCAUCCUAGCUAUAUUAUGUCAUUCAUGACAUAUUAAAGUAUUGAUCUGCACUUUUAUUGGGUCCUAGGGCCCACUGUUUUUAGGUCAGACUCUCAGUCAUAUUGGGAUGCUUGGCAUUGUCAGUUUCUGAAACAGAUCAAGAAACCCUUUUUGACCAACCAAAUUGCGGCCAUAUUCUAUUCUUCAAAGUGAUUUUAUCUAACUUUGAAUCCUUCAUAAAAUUUAUAGUCAUGUACGUGUAGAUGAAUUUGGGUUUUUGAAUUGCCUAAUUUCGAUAUCAAAAGCCCAAGAUAUUCCCAUUUGAAUAUAUAUUAUGAAAGUAGGGAAUCCUGCUGCGAGAAGGAUUCUAGCCCGAGUUCGCAAGUUUGAUUCAAGGAAUUACGAGCCGAUUUAAAGGAAUUUUUUAGGACCAAGGAAUGAAUUAAAAAGUAUUAAAAUGAGGGAUUUAAUUGAAGAUGAAAUUAGAAGGAAAUUGGUUGGGUUUUAAGAAGUUGAAAAAGGGGACUAGAUCAUCAAAAACUGAUAGGAAUUCUACCACGCUAGAUAAGAAAAUAAGACUUUGCAACAUGGUACUAUUCAUUUGUGUUUUGAACAGUACUCCUCCCUGUCUACAAUUCUUUCCUUUUCUCUGCACAACUAUUCCCGUUAGUUUCCAUUAUUCUCUUGCUUGAUUUUUGAGCUACAGAUCAUGUUUUUUUUCUGCCUCAAACCGAAGGAAAUAGUUAGUCUCAUGGUGCCAGUUGUGGGAGGGCUGAAAGGAGUUGCACCACCCUUUAAUCACGGGAAAAUAACAUCUAGAAUCAUCAGAACAUCAAUCAAAAUAGUAUGUUUUCCUAAUUCAUUUUAUCUGAUUGUAAGUAACCCGAAAUUGUAUCCUAGAUUAGUGUAUUUUGUUUUCUAAAUGGAGUUGUGUAUAUGCUAGAUUAAUGUCUUCUCCUAUCAGUUAUUAGGUAAGCACCCUGCAUUCUUUUCACUUUUCAAAUUUAAUUACAUAGUUACUGUAUAAUUCAUUUGAACAGUAACUAAGGGGGCAUUGUUUGCCCAGCUAGGUCACUAGUUUUGCAAGUGACCCAGCUAGGUCGGUUGGGUCCAGCCCAACCACAUGGGUUGAGCUGGACCCAGCGUCAAUAAAAAAAAUGAGUAAGAUUGUUAGUUUUCUUGUAUAUUUAUUUUGUGGUUUGUAUUUUUAUAUUGUAAAAAUACCAAUUUGUUAUUAAAAUACCUGAAUUUUUUCAACGAAUUUUUUUUAUGCAUACAGCCAAUACCCUAACAUAUUUUGAACAUUCCUCUUUUAAAAAGAAAAAAAAAUAUUCGAAUUUAAAAGAAAAUGUGUUUUAGCAUGGAUUUUACAACAUGUUUGUAAGUUCCAAAAGGUGGUGGCCAAUAUUUCAAAAAUAUAAAAAUCUUAUUUUUGGGGAAUUCAUCUAUUAUUCACUAUUAAUAUUUGGAUAAAGAAAUCCCAAAGGGGUUAAUAUCCAAAAUAUUUUGUCUAGGAAUAAUAAGUCAUUAUCUUUUAAUAAUAUAAGGACAAAAAAACCUAUGAAAGGUAAAUGUCUGAAAUAUUGUUGAGAGUAAUACAACUUGUUUGUUUUUAAUAUAAGGGUAGAUUUGUGCCCAAAAUGUUAUUUCGAACAAUUUAAUUGUAGAUCGUUGAAAUAAGUCUCAAUUAUAAUUGGGGACAUUUCAAUUUUUGUAACACGGUUUAUGAGUCGUGAAACUAUGAAAUACUAAGGCAAAAAUGAGUUUUUAUUAAGGAAAGAGACCUUAUAUAUGUAAACACUCUUAUAUAGGAAUAGUUAUCGUAUGUAAUACAUCCCACCAUUAUAUUGUACACAACCCUACAAGUAUAAAUACAAAGGAUGGCUGCUACCCUUAGACAACCAACACAAUUAAUACAAAACUAUCUCUCAAUUAACUUAACUUGGUAUCAGAGAUGCGGUUAUCAUUCAACAGCCUUCUUCUGCAACAGCUGCAACUCUCCAGCUUAAUUGUUUCAACCAGCAUCCAUCCUUUCUUCUUUGUAGCCGUUCUUCCUCUAUUAUAUUUGCCAGCAGUAGUUUCUUCUUAGCAGAGAUCAUUCAUCUUCUUCCUCUGUUACUUCUCAUCAGCAUCCACAAAAUAAAAACUACAACUUCUCCUCCUUAGCAACAUGGACAAUCAAGAACUUCAACAGUCUGCUGGCGCAGCAUCAGCUCUUCAAUCUUCUUUCUCCCCUGUGGCGCAAUCAGUUAUGUAUGGCACAUCCCCUACUGCCUCCAUUAUCCCUCUUCCUAACACACACCAGGCAGUCUCUUUAAAGCUCUCCAACCAUAAUUUCCUGUAUUGGAGGAUGCAGAUGAAACCGUUUCUCUUGGGCCAAGGCGUUUAUUCAUUUAUUGAUGCACAUCACCAUGUCCUCCUUCACAUCUAGCAUCCGCUAAGACAUCUACACUCUCUGUCAACCUUGCAUAUUUGUCAUGGAAGCAGCAAGAUCACCUAAUCAUGAGUGCCCUUCUAUCUUCUCUCUCGGUGGAAGUUCUACACUUGGUUGUAGAUUGUAACACUUCCCAUGCCAUCUGGACAACGCUGGAAACAACUCCUUCCUCUUCCUCAAAUUCUAGGAUUAUGUAGCUCCAUAGCUCAUUCUAGGAUUUAUGACAGAAUGAUGAUUCUGCCAACAUUUACUUACAGAAGUCAAAGGCCUUGUUUAAUGAACUGGCUGCCGCUGGCAGACCAAUCUCCCUAUUAGAAUUUAACUUGUAUGUAUUUCGAGGGUUCCACGGUGAGUUUAAGGAUAUUGCCACCAUCUUGUCCGCUAAGGAUGCUCCCAUCACCUAUACUGAUCUCCAUAGCAGCCUUCUUACACAUAAGUUUCUUCACAAAGCCUCUCUCCAGCAAUUUGUAACAGUUCGACUGUUACCAACUCCAACGCAACAGCCAGCUGCGUUCUUUAUGCAACAUCAAUCUAGUAGAUGGGGUCGUUUUCAUGGGGACUAUAGACCUAACAAUCACAACAAUUUUUAUCGUGGCAAUGGACCAACUCAUAGUUAUGCUUCAGGACAACAACAUAGCCCACAUGGAAACCGGUUCUCCUUUGGCACUUCCUCACGACCAACAAGCAGUUUUGGGCAACAAGGAAAUCACUUUGGUGGUUAUACUUGCAAUAUAAAAUGUCAGUUGUGUUAUGAAUAUGGGCAUAUAGCUCAAUAGUGUUCUCAGUUGGCUACUCAUCAUAUACAAGCUAAUGCUAAUCUUGCAUUUAAUACUACCUCUUCCGCUACUCCUGGUACUUGGUCUCCUAAUACAAGUGCAAAUCAUCAUGUCAUGCCAGACUUUGUAAGUAUGACGAGUUCAAAACCUUAUCUUGGAAAUGAUCAUCUGCAUGUUAGUGAUGGUGAGGGCCUUGUUAUCUCAAAUAUUACUCACUUUAAAAUUCAAUCACCAAACCACAUGUUUACUUUAUCCAAUAUCUUACAUGUUCCUACCAUUAAAAAACCUCUACUAUCUGUUCAAAAAUUUUGUAUUGAGAAUAACGUCUUUUUUGAAUUUCAUUCCUCUCUAUUUUAUGUUAAGGAUCUCAUGACAAAGGAAGUUCUUCUUUCCGGUCAGAGUAAAGAUGGUCUAUAUGUUUUGUCCGAGUCGUCCGCAACGUCGUUGCCUCAAGCUUUUUCCUCUACCUGUCUAUCUACUUCAGCUGAUGUCUGGCAUCGUCGCCUUGGACAUCCUAGUCCACGUAUUCUGUAUUUGUUGGUGAAAAAUAAAAAAGUGUCAUGUACGUCCACUCAGUUUAAUUUUCAUUGUCCUGCGUGCCCUCUGGGCAAGUCAUCACGUCUGACUCUAAAAACUACGGGUCAUCAAACUCGAGCUCUUCUUGACUUGAUUUUUAGUGAUGUUUGGGGUCCAUCCCCUAUGUUGUCAUCUGAUGGUUUUCGCUAUUUUGUUAUUUUUGGAUGCUCAUACAAAAUUUAUGGUUUUAUCCCUUGGUUGCUAAGUCUGACGUUUUUGCAAUUUUUCAUCAGUUUCAGGCGCUUGUGGAGCGCCAAUUCUCCUUAAAAAUUAAGUUUGUUCAAACCGAUUGGGGUGGUGAAUAUUGAAAACUAAAUAUAUAUUUUAAAACGAUUGGUAUUCAUCAUCGUGUGAUCUGCCUGCACACUCAUGAACAAAAUGGCAUGGUUGAACGCCGUCAUAGACAUACUGUUGAAACUGGACUUACUCUCCUUGGGCAGUGUCACGCUCCCCUUAAAUAUUGGAUUUAUGCUUUUGAAAGUUCUGUUUAUUUGAUUAAUCGCAUGCCCACUCCAGUUCUUAAUAAUAAGACACCGUUUGAAUGUCUUCUAAAAUCGACUCCUGAUUAUGCGUUUCUUUGUACUUUUAGGUGUCUAUGAUUUCCUUUUCUUCAUCCAUACAAUGCUCACAAGUUAGAUUUUCGGUCCACUCCUUGUGUUUUUCUAGGAUAUAGUACCUUGCAUGUCGGUUAUCGAUGUGUCUUGAUUUGUCAUCCAAAUGAAUUUAUCUUGCUCGUCAUGUCCGGUUUCAUGAAAAUGUUUUUUCUCUUGAUAAAACUGAACAAAUUGCAGCAACACCCAAACAACCUGUUGUAACCCAUUUUUGGGUCCCCACAUAUAAAAUAAUAAAAUACAAAAAAAUUCAAAAAAAAUAUAUUACAAAAAAAAUAUAACAGUGAAAAAUGCCAGAGCGCCAUAAACAUGCUAAAAAAAAAUUUUGUUUGAGGAUUUUCAAAAAUAUAAAAAUUAUUUUUUGACAGUAUAUCAUUAACUGAUGAGAGCCCCGAUGAUAAAGAAAAUUCAAUUUGUGGAAGAAAAAUGCAAAAUCAGAAGUUUAUGGACUCAAUUAAAUUUUAUUGAAGGUUUAAUUGAAGUUAUGGAGAUUUUAAUUGCAACAAAAUUGAUUUUGGAGUUAAUUUGGGCUUUAAUUAGAAGAAAUUAAUUUUCUGGGGUCAAAUUAUAAUUUUUGGAAGUUAAAUUGGUCAAAUCAGGGGCUUAAUUGCAUAAAAAUUGAGGUUUAAUGGCCAAUUAGGGACUGAAUUGAAGAAAUCCGAGACCAAGGACUAAAUUGUAAAACGCGCGCAAAUGGAGGGCCGAAAUUUGAAUCUGAUUCUUUUGGCGCCUUUUUCCUUUUAAAUGAAACGGCGCGUUUUGACCAAAACGGCGCCGUUUCAUUCACUGUUGCAAAAAAAAAAAAAAAAAAAAAAAAAAAACAGAAGCCCAAAACGGUGCCGUUUUGACGGCACUGUAGCUCUUCUUCUUCCCCUGGACACACGAGGCAGGGGAAGAAGAAGAUUUUUUUCUUCCCCUUUUCGCCUAAUUACUUUCCCUCUUUUGCUCAAAAAGACGCCGAAACAAGGACACCACUUGCCGACCACUUUCCACGCGUUGGACGGGCGUUGGACGGGCGGCAGCACACCGGCCACCACCAUGACGUCCCCCCCCCCUGUUUUUCGCCUAUAAAAACAGGGGAGGAAGAGGAGAAAAGAGGACAACAGAGGGGAGAAGGAAGAGAGAAGAAAGAGAGAAAAGAAGAGAGAAGAGAGAAAAGAAAAGAAAAAAGAAAAAAAACAGAAACAGAAGAAAAGAAAAAAAAAAAACAGAGGAAGAAGGAGAAGAAAACCCGCCGGCCACUGCGCCUCCGCCACCGUCGCCGCCAGCAGCACCGCCACGACGCCACCACAGGUAAACAACCUCUGCCCCGUCUCCUUCGGCCCUUUGCAACUGCCUUCUUUAUUUUCAUGCAGAACGUGAAUUAAUUCACGUUCUGCAACUGAUGAGAGGCUGGUUACUGUGCUUAUGCACAGUAACCAGCCCAUUUAGUUUUGGGCCGGUUCGGCCCAGCCCACUGAAAUGGGUCGGGUCCGGCCCAUUUCAAUUUUUUUAUUUUUAUUUUAUUUUUUACAAUUUUUCCAACACAUGUUUUUAUCAAUUUUGCUUAAUAUCGGUCUGUAUUUUACAUCGUAAAAAAAUAAAUUCGGUAUUAAAAUACCCGGUUUUCGUCCCGCGGGUACUGUUCAAAUAAAAUAAGUAAUAAUCAAAAGAAUGAGGAUCAAUUUGAUAAAUAAAAAAUUUCAAUAAAAAAAUGAUAAGAAAAAGCAAAUAGCAAUUAUAAAAAUAAGGACCAAAGUUAAUAUAAAAAUAAAAAUUUUAAGAGAUGAAAUUGAAAAAUAAAUAUUCAAAACAAAAUAUAUAUAACAAUCAAAAGUUUGAGGAUCAAAUUUGAUAUAAUCAACAAAUAAUGACAUUUCUAAAUUUUUCACAAUUUCCGGAAAGUGUUUUCCCCUCAAAUUUUUCAGGAAAACACUUUCUGAAAUCCAAGCCAAAUUUUCCUUUUACUGGAAAGUGUUUUCCAUUGACCAACUUUCCUACUGGCAAACAAACACAAGAAAGUUUGGAAAAUGCUUUCCCGGAAACCACUUUUCAGAAAACAAACACAGCUAAAAGGAAAACACUUUCCUGAAAACCAAGUCAAUUUUUUUUUUUACUAAAAUUGACUGGAAAGUGUUUUCCGUUGACCAACUUUUCUAAUGACAAAAAACAUAGAAAGUUUGGAAAAUGAUUUCCCGGAAACUACUUUCCGGAAAACAAACAAGGCCAAGUAAUUCAACUAUAAAUGCUUUAUAGUAUGAGUGCUUCUAUUUCAACGAAGGAUCCAUUUUUGAUAGCAUUCCACGACUUUGUUUGCCUUCUCACUGGAUAGUUGUUUGAGGUCCAAUGACCUAGAGAAUAGUCAAAACCUUUAAGCGAGAAGAGGAUCAAAAUGUCGUCAUUUUGAUAAAUAUUUUUGUCAAUUUUUUUUUUAAACUACCACAUGGGGUAAAAUGACUUUAACAAAAAUUGGAUAAGAUAAACUUGUUUAGCAGCUGGAGGAUAAAAACUAGAUAAGAGAAACAUUAUCUGGUAGAUGAAUUACAAAAGUAAGAUAAGAUAGAUGUUAACGAAUGAUAAAAUAUAAGAUAAUAUAAACAAGUUUUUAACAACCAUAAAGAGAUAUUGUAGAUAUAUCCUUAUUUGGCGAUGAAAUAAAGUAUGUUAUUAUAAGAUAAUAUUUAAUUAAUAUCUUAGGAUAAUAAACAUAAACAAUGAAUAUAAAAACAAGUUUAGUUAAAGAAACAAAGACAUAGAUAGAAAUAUAAAAUAAAUUUGUUUUUAAGAUAAUUCUUGAGUAAAUUUCUAUGUUUUCAAAAACAUGAAGAGUAGGAAGACACAUUUUACUUGACCCCACUAUCCUUAUCUUUUUUGGUUUUGAAGCUAGAUAUGUUGCCCGUGCUAUGCUGUCGGCCGGGUUGAAUUUUUGCUAACAUAAAAAAAUCAAGGGGAUUUCAAACGAUGAAACAAAAAACAAUUAAUUUAAAAAAAUAGUGUUGAAGAAAAAACCCUUAAUUAUGAAAUUUGACAAGUUAUCUUUAUAACCAAAUAAAAAGAAAAGCGAAACAAUAAUAAAAUUCAAGGUUUAAUAACCAUCGAGAAAAAAAAACUCAAGUCAACCGUGUUAGUUUGUCAAAUUCGCAGUUCAAAUAAUUAAAUAAAGAUAACUUUAUAAAAAAAUUAUGAAAUUGAAUCCCUAAUAAAUCUAAUGUUGGACGAUAUAAUUACGAAAAACAACCGAAACACUAAAAUCCCAUAUUCCUUUAGUUUAGUAAGUUUUUUUGUUUUUUUGAAAUUUUGAUUUUAAUCUCCCUCCCAGUAUCAUUACUCUCAUUCUGUAGCGAGUCAAGGCAUGUUUGUCCAUGUUGUCUAGGCUACCAGUCUCUCUAUCAUUUCUAGCUUUAGUAGCAGGGAGUGAUUGAUCCGCAUGCAACAACUUGAGAGCUCACCGUGCGAUUCUUACAUCUCCCGUUUUUGUAUUUUAAAGAUAUUUUUAAAAGAAUUUAAUUUUUUUUUAUUUUUUUACUUUAAAUUAAUAUAUUUUUAAUAUUUGUAAGAUCUACGUUGAUAUUAAAAAUAAUUUUUUUAAAAUAAAAAAAAUAUUAUUUUAAUACAUUUCUAAAUAAAAAAUAUUUUAAAAAUUAACCACAAUCACAUUUCUAAACAAACUAUAGAUAGGACACAAGAAGGUAGAGAGACUAGGAGCUGAGACUGCUAGAUCUGUUGGACAUUUUAUGCCAUGGUUGGUUGGUUCGGAGGGAGGAAGGAUCGAGUGGGAGAUGUGAAAAUGUCCUAUAUAUAUAUAUAUACUUUUCUAAAGGUUAGUUUAUGUGAUGGUAGAAUGACACAAUCCUUUCAACCUAAUUUCACAGUCCUAAGAAAAAGCCAAGGUAUGUAUCGAUAACCAUAGAAACCCUAGAUGAUGAUCAACAUAUAUAUAUACACACCCUUCAUCUGCCAUACGGAAAUGCUUUGAGUUUUUCUUCUUCCUUAGUUACGUUUCCUUGGCCCAAGAUUAAUUUCUUAGAGUACUAAGAUUGACAUUUUCUUGCCAUUGUUAGCUGGGAGGGAGGAGGGGAGAUAUUGGGAAAGGAAAUAUGAGCUAAUACUUCUGAAACGAGUUGCUCUUUUCUUACACGAUAAAAAAUAUGAAUUUUUUUUAUAUGUUUUUUUAAUUUAAACUAUACACAAACAUAAUUUUAUUAUAGUACCUUUAUAUGUUUUUGUUAAGAAGAAACUAUUGAAUUUAUCUGUAAAAUUUUAUUUUAGAUACAAACAACCUAAAUGCCAAUUAGUGCAUAGUAUAUGAAUUCUAGUUAAAAAAAGGGGCAAAUUUAUCUCUCACAUACCUCAAUAGAAAAUCACAAAUCUGUUCUUUGUCUCGUUCAAGUGUGAAAACAAGAUUCUUAAGAGCAACCAAUCCAUGUCAAUAAAUACGGGAAAAAAAAAAAACCUUUUUGGCAUACGGUGGUUGCUCCUUGGUACAUUGGUUUUGGGUAGACAUGCAUCAAUGGACAUGGACCCCUAACCUACCAACCAUGUGAUAAAGUACAUGUGAUCAAUUAAGCAACAUAUAUGACUAGAAAAAGGUUAAAAGUUAACGUACAAGGGUGGUUCAUUCAUCUGAGAAUUGACGAGAACCUAUAUAUAUAUAUAUAUAUGACUAAAUCUAUAUUUAUAUGUAUGUUACCGACGUAGUAAUAAAUCUGUCAGGAAAUUAUAUUUAACAAUGACAAGUCCUUUAAUUUCUUUCCAACUUUCUGAAACUCUUCGAGGACCUAGCUAGCAUGUCAGUAAUUUUAUUGGUAUUCCACAUUCUGUCAGUAAUCCAUCAAUAUUAUAUGUAAUAUAUAUAUUUUAAAAAUAUUAAAAUAAAUAAUGCAAUCAAAACAUAAUUAAAAUAAAAUAAAAAUAAAUUUAUAUUAUUAAUUUAAAAAAUAUUAUUAAAUAUAAUUUAUUUAUCUAGUGGACAUAAACUCGAGAAGGAGGCAAAAACAGAUCUUCGUCGGAACCAAGAGGGCAACAAGGUGGAGCAUAUGUAUCACUGAGUGUUGCCAACAGCUGCUUGAAGACACUCACUUUAUCCCCCCAGUUAAGUCGACUCAACCCUAAGUUGGGCAGUCUUAGCUUGAAUUUGUUCUCAUACGAUCAAAAGAACAAGUGGUGAUUGCUGGCUCGAUUUGAGUUGCGUGGUCUCAACAAUCAAGUUAGUAUGGCUCGCUCGUAUACCUUUAGUUGUGUUGGAGAUACUAUAAAUUCGAUUUCUAUUGAGUCCUUUGACAAAUCUAGCCUCCAACCAUAAUUUUAUUAUUUAAUAAAUAAGGUAGUGUUAGAUUACUAUUUCAAAAUAGAAGUGGAAAAUGUAGUUAUGAUAAAGAGGACAUGCUUCCUUUUCUUUUUAUUUUGAAAGAAAAAUUUAUUUGAAAACCAUUAUUUAUUAUUUUCAUUUACUUUUAUUCUGAAACACCAAUUCACUCAAUCUAGAGUUAACUAACUAUUUGACUUGCCUUUCACCUGCACAUCAAAUAAUGUUUGUUUAGAAAAAAAAAUGAAUAUGCAGUUUUCCAACAUGUUUUUGGACAUAAAUAAAUUCUCAAUCAUAAACUAAAAAGCUUAUGUAUAUAUCUAAUUAAAUAAAUAGAUAAUUAUUUGUUCCAGUAAACAUAAAAAACUCUUAAUAAUAACUAAAGACUAAACUAAAAAAAUCAAGAGUAGAUACAAAUUAAUAUAUUUGAUCUUGCAACACAGAUUGUGUACUCAAUUUUGUUUGAUAAUUUUUUUCUUAGAAUACAUUCUUUAUUUAAUCAAAUGAUUAUUCGUGAUAAUAAAACAUUAAAAAAGUAGUUAAGAUAACUAAAGAUUAAACUGAAAAAUAAAGAGAUAAAAAUAAUCAAAUAUUUGAUUUCACAACACAUGUUAUGUAUAUAGUUGUGUUUAAUAAUUUUUUCCUAGAAUAAACUUUUAAUGUAAUCAAAUAAUAAUAGAAACAAACACACACGUAAACAAGAUUGAAUAUAAUAAAAAAAUAUUAUGUAAAGUUACAUAUAUUAAAAAACAAAAUGUUAUAAGUACUUUAUAUGAAACCAAGUGAAAAAUAAACAUAUUUAACCAAAGACUAAAUUUAAAAGUUGAGAUAAAGAUGUACAUGAGCCAUAGACUUGAUUGUAUUUAAUAAGUUAUUGUUUCUUCGAACCAAUGUUUUUAUUUAAUAAAAUGAUAAUAAAAAACACAUAGGAAAGGGAUUGAAUAAAAAUAAAAAAUAAGUAAGGCUACAAAGAAAGAAUGUUUCCUUAAAAAAAAAAACAAUGAAAUCUAUCUAUAAACUAAGAAAAAAUUAAAUCAUAUUCUAUAAGAAAAAUCAUAAAAAGUUAUUAAACAUUUAUUAAAAUAAAAAAAAGCCAAUAAAGGAUGAUACUACAAAAAAAAGACAAAAAAAUAGCAAAAAUGACCAGAUGCGUGAGCCUGACCAAGGUGGCCUAACAUGUCUAGGCUUAAAAAAACUCAGGCCUACAUGUUUGAGCUAACUUUUUUUUUUUUAUAUAUUAAGGGCUAGAAGACUUGACGUCAACCCUUAAUGUUUUUGAAAACAAAUUACAACUUGACGACGUGCCACUGCUUCUCCACAGAUUUCACCAUAAUGAUGACUAUAAAAUCAUGGUUGAUGUUUUUGACUUGAAAAUCUAUUUUCAACUUAUUUUUGAUCAAAAUAUCUAUAAAACACCAUACACAUUUUGAUAAACCCUGUAUCCAACCUCAAAUAAUGCAAAAACCCAAAAAAACCCGAAAUCAAUUUCUAAUUAAAAACUUCUUGAGCUCGAAUCUAUCAUUGCUAGAAAAAGAAGAGGUAAAAAACACCUAGGUGAAAAUCUCUUAAUUGAAAGGAACCUGUCGACACCAAGAUCUAUAUUUUUCAUGACUGGACAUGGUGUCAAUUGAGACUCUCUCUCUUCAUUAUUGAAAUUUGACAACAAUCUCUCUCUUUUCUUGAAUUAGGAACAAAAAAUAAAAAAAAUAAAAUUUUAAAUUAAAAUUGUAUUUUUUAAAAUGAAAGGAACCAAAUAUUUAUAAAGCACGAUAAAAAUGAACUUUUUGCAUUAUUUUUUAAAUUACAACCAAUUUUCUCUGUUUUUUUUCUAUAACUUUAAUCUUAUUCUUGCUAAACAAAUCUGAAGCUUUAAUUUGACCCUAAAAAAAUACAAUUGGCCAAAGAAAAGUUCGAAGGAAAAAAAAAAGCCACCGUGAAAAGAUCAUCAUGCAUAAUGUUUUUUCGCUGCAUUGUUUUUGCCGCAACAGAGUUUCUUGUAAUAGUCGAGAAUUCACUCAACCUUAAGCUAUAUUCCAGUCUUGCUAUCAAGAACCAUAACGUCCUAUCAAUUACCCUGACGAGGAUAUAAACAAAGGAGUCACCCAUCCACGAGCAAGACCCUUCACUAAACGAAGAAAAUCUUGAUCAAGUAAAGAGCCACAUCUUCACAUUGAUGUACCCUUUAUUAAACGAAGAAAAUGUUGAAGACUUGAACAAGUAAAAAGUCACAUCUUCAUAUUGAUGUGUCAAUAACUUCGUUUAUAAAUGAACGAAGUGUCAUCACAUGCUGCAGCUCAUGGUACCCCACAGUCUCUUUUGAGAGUGCUUUUUUUUUAAAUGGUGGCUUUUUUCAAGGAUUCUACCCAGGCAAGGCAGCCCAAGCAAGCAGAGAGACAUACAGCUUCAGAAGAGAGAGAGAGAGAGAGAGAGCACUACUUUUGCAAGAAGUUGCCUUCUAUAUUCAGGUACAUUUGUUUCUUCAAACAAUAUGCAUGAUCCAUGAAUGGUUUUCUGUGGCUAAAGGCUUUAUGGGAGUUGAGAUGCAUAGUUUCUCAUCUCCACGCUCAAAAUGUCAAAAAAGAAAAGGAAAAGAAAAUAAAAUUAAAAAAAGUAAAAACGGCGGAGAGAAUAAUUUCUGAGUAGAUUCGUUUUACAACUUUCUUAUUGCCAUGCAACAUACCAUGAAGCUAGGUUUUGGUUCUGCAGUCUGUUUUUGCCCAUUAUUCAGAUUUUUUACCACAUAAUGUGGAGUUGUUUGUUUUCCCAUUCCAAUCUUUUUAAAGUGUGGUGUGCAUUAGGGGCAGCAGCACGAUGUCUCAUAUUAUGAAACCUCAUAGUUGGAAAUUUCUUUUUUUGGUUACAGAAGUUGGAAUUUUUAACAGAUACUAUGGAGUUCUGUGUCUUAAUCUCCAAAUCUUUAGCCUUCUCUUUCCAACAACUUUUAUUUUUUGUAGUAAUUGGAUAAAACAGAAAUUAAGUGGGGGUGUUUUUAGCCUCCAUGUUUCUAUCUGUUUCUUCAAAAUAAAUCUAGAAAAGGAAUAAGCUAAACUAAUUAACACGCACCGCUAAUCAUUUCUAUGACCAUAUAAAUGCAUGCUCAAGUAAUUUGGGUGGGUUAAUUACUUUAAGAUUUUCAUUUAACUUUGGAACUAACAAACUUUGCUUGAAUUUAUGAAUCUUUUUUUUUUAAAAAAAAGUGUCAAUAAAGAAAAUCUUGCUUUGACAGGUUCUGUUCUUCAUUUUGGCUGUAUUUGACAAAGUAAAUUAAUUUUGAACAAGACCAACAAAGUGGAAGUGAUGAACAAGAUAUAAUGUAUAGGUGUCUGCCUGUGGCAUGCAUGGUUACAGAAACUGCAAGUCAUGGUGGUGUGUUGAGAGGAUCUCCCUUACAUUUGUUGCUUGUUCUGACAAUCUCCCCAAACAUGUGUCAUAAUGCGUGCACUAGUGUCCAUGACAUUUUAGUCAGAAACAACACCGACUGCUGUGUUUUUCAUUGAUUGUCUUCACCUACAUUUGCCUGCUGUGUUUUACUAAAUAUACAGGUAAAAUAAUAUUAUUGAGGUUGUUGAAACAUUAAUGAUGUUAAGAUUAGGUUAAUUAGAUCGAUAAAAACGAUGAAUUUUGGCAUGCACUCCUGGUUUUGAUGUAGACUAAUUUUGGAUAUUCCGAGUACAAAGAAAUUAUACUGUAUAAUAGUUAUUAGUUAGAGUCUGUUCUUGGAAUAUUUUUACUCAACGCUAAAGUCCUAUAUUUUAGCCUGGACCGCCAUGGAUCCUGUAAAGUCAUAUGCAUCAGUACGUUUUCUUCUAAGCCUGUGCUUUCUGGAAGCAGUUAUAGGCCAUCAAUGCAUGCUCAAAGUACUGAGAUAUAUUUACAGUGACCCUGGCUAAUCGAUAAUUCUACUAAAUUAUUUGUUCAUCUUUUCAUGAAUUUAAUUCAAGAAAGCUGAACAGAGCAAUGGCAGCCAAUGGAUUGUUUGCCUCCAGUGGCAAGCAUGGAGGAAAGGAAAGCCGCAUCAAGAGAAUGCCACAUGGGAAGCCUCCGUUCACUCUUGGCAAAAUCAAGAAGGCCAUCCCGCCCCAUUGCUUCGAACGAUCCCUUCUCCGCUCAUUCUCCUAUGUGGUUUAUGAUCUGUGCAUAAGCUUUCUCCUCUGCUACAUUGCCACCACAUACUUCGACCUCCUGCCAUCCCCGCUCUCCUGUGUCGCGUGGCCCACGUACUGGAUUCUCAAGGCAGCAUUCUCACCGGUGUUUGGGUUAUUUCUCAUGAAUGUGGUCACCAUGCCUUCAGUGACUACCGGUGGGUUGAUGACACAGUUGGCUUAAUCCUCCAUUCUGCACUUUUAGUCCCUUACUUUUCCUGGAAAUACAGCCACCGCCGCCAUCACUCAAACACAGGGUCCCUUGAGCGAGACGAAGUGUUCGUUCCAAAGCCUAAGUCUCGAAUCGCAUGGUAUUCCAAGUACCUAAACAACCCACCAGGUCGAGCUUUAAGUCUUGUUGUCACACUUCUGCUAGGCUGGCCCUUAUACCUAGCCUUCAACGUUUCAGGUCGACCCUAUGAUCGCUUUGCCUGUCACUAUGAUCCCUAUGGCCCCAUAUAUUCUGAUCGUGAAAGGCUUCAGAUUUACAUUUCUGAUCUUGGCAUUUUUGCGCAACUUUUGUGCUCUACAGCAUCGCUGUGUCUCGAGGGCUGCAUUUCUGAUAUGCAUUUAUGGGGUACCGUUACUUAUUGCUAAUGGUUUACUUGUCACCAUCACAUACUUGCAGCACACUCACCCUGCAUUGCCACAUUAUGAUUCCUCUGAAUGGGAGUGGCUUAGAGGAGCUUUGGCAACCAUGGAUAGAGACUAUGGGAUCCUGAACAAGGUCUUCCAUAACAUUACAGACACGCAUGUAGCUCACCAUCUCUUCUCUAACAUGCCACAUUAUCAUGCAAUGGAGGCUACGAAAGCAAUCAAGCCAAUACUGGGUGAGUUCUACCAGUUUGAUGACACUCCGAUUUACAAGGCCUUAUGGAGGGAGACAAAAGAAUGCCUGUAUGUUGAUCCAGACGACGGAGCUCCUGAAAAAGGCGUGUUCUGGUACCGGAACAAGUUUUGAUCCUGCUGCCUGCAAAAUCAUGCUAGCUAGAUGCAAGGGUAGGGUUCAAUAGUGUAGCGUGUUGCUAAUAAAUGGGGGAGAAGGUGUUGUUGAGCUAAAAAUGUAAUGGACUUGUAAUGAAACUCAUCAACUUAUGAAUUCUUAUGAAAAAAAAAAAAAAAUCAACUUAUGAAUACUUCUCUUCUUAGCUACUAUCAGCUUUUGUUUUUAGACUAGACAAGCGACGAUGACCAAAUUUUUGUGUGGUGUUUCCUCUGUCAAGUUUGUCUAUAAAACCUUGCAAGAAAUUAAAUAAACACAGACGAGCACAGAAAAAUAAGAGAGAGAUAAGAAACAAUAUUCAUGUAAAGGAUAAGAUAAACCCCUCGACGAAGGGAUAAAUCUCCCUCAAAAUUAUUCAUUAAUUUCCUUCAUCAUACUCUUCAACAUCAGUACAAAUCCUCGAGGAACCAGCACCUGUUAUAAUGACUCAUCUGAGCCAUCUUUUGAACCUGGAGAUAAGCCUCAAAUCCGAGGCAAAACUUGACUAAAAAAAGCGGCAUUCCGCAUUAAUUAAUGCUCCAAUUUUCCUGUUUCCAUUUAUGCUUAUGGUUAUGACACAUUUUAAACCCCUUUUAUUUUAAUGAAUUCCUAAAAUUCUCAAAACUCAAUAAUAUUUGGCAUUCAUAUGAUUUUUCUGAAACUAUAAGGUGGCAGAGUCGAAGGAAACUGGAGGACCUGCACAAUCGCCCCUGAAAAAAAUAUUUUUCUUGAGAGUACAUGAAGUAUGUGUAAUGACUGCAUCUCUAUCUUCAUAAAAUUUGUCUCCGAUCGAAAUAUGUGUUGAAAAAAGUAUCUUGAUAUUUACAAUCUUGCAAAUAAGUUUUAUCCCAAGAAUUCUAUAUCAAGAUAAUUUCUUUUGAGAUCUUGAUAAAAUUAUUUUGGAUUUGUUAUUGUUUUUUAGAAUAUUAUGAAUUGAGAAAAGUAUCAAUGCUAGAAUAAUUAGCAAACUAUCUGUACUCUUGUUGAAAAAAUAAAUUGCUUAUAAAAAUUUAAUUCUGAUUCCUUAAGCUAAAUUUCUGAAUCGGUCACCAUACCCUCCCUUUCGGAACCAUAUUGUCGUAGUUGUGUGGUGAGAGGGCAAGCCUUGCAUUUGUUGUUAGCCUUGACAAUUUGCCAAAUGUGUCAUCAAGCAUGCAUUAGUGUCCAUAACAUUUCACUGAAAAACAAAUCAAACUAACCAGACCAGUAAAAUCUAACCCUUAAUUUCUUUAUUAAUAAAAAAUAUUUUUUGAAAAAGCCAAUAGGUUGAAGCAUGGUUUUGAUCACCAUGUUAGCUUCGAGUCAAGGUGUUAACUUGAGUAUUUUAUUAGAUUAAUCAAUAUUUUUUAUUUUAUUUUUUAAACUUGAUUUGAGUCUCCUAUAUCCUGUUUAAAUUUUACAAUAUGAUUAUACGCUCUGUAUUUCAUUAAUUACCUUUUAACUUCACCUACAUUUCUUAAUUAACCGACGUUGCAAUUUAUGGAGGUAGAAGAUUAUUAUUUAGGUGGUUGAAAUAUUAAUGAUCAUGUCUAUAUUUCUUUUUCUGAUGUUUAGGUUAGGUUAACCAGAUCGAUCGAAACUUUGGCAUGUACUAUUGGUUUUGAUGUCCGACUAAUUUUAGGUAUGCUGUGGACAUCGCAUUUAUAUCAUUAUUUAAUAGCUAAUAAUUACAGUGUAUUCUUGGAACAAUUUUACUCAAGUUUCAACAAAUUUUGUUAAACCCAUACACGCGAUAUGACAAUGAAAUGUAAAGAAAUGAAAUCUAGUACGUGAUUUAGGAAUUUAAAAUUAAAAGAUUUAAUUUUAGGUUUGAGUUUUGUGGUUGUUAAUAUAAUAACCAUUAGAAAUUUACAUGAUCGUUAGCUUCAAGACUGGUAAAAUUAGUUGAAGUACAAACAAGCUAAUUCGAACAUUUAUAUUAAUAAAAAAAAUAUUUAAAACUGCAUUAUAAAAAUCAUAGAUAUCACACUCUUAUCCAGAAAAAAACAUUUGGAUUGUUAAAUUAUUUUUACUUGUUGGUUGGUAAACUGAGAUAUUUUUUUUUAUCAAAAAUAUUUUUUUUAAAAUUUUUUAGUGUUAAGUCUAUAGGGUUUGUUCAAAUUAAUUGAAUUAUAGAUUAACCCAAUUUAUUUUAAAUUUUAAAUUGUAGAUUCCCGAAUCAACCAUUUUGACUAUGCUAGAUUUAUUAACUAUCAUAAAUACUAUCCACUCGAUGCAUAUUUUUAUUAAAAAUUAAUUGUGAAAGUUUUACAUUAAAAUAGUCUGAAAAAUUAAAAAAUUAAUUAAAAAUAAAAUAAAAUAUUUUUAAAAAUAAAAAAAAUAAUUAAUUUCUUCCCGCAUACUUCAGCCAUUUUCACGGUCCUACAACAUUUAUUUUUUCCUUUUCUUCUAAGCCUAUGCUUUCUCAGGCAGGUACGUAAUUGCCAUUGAUACACAUACAUGCUGUGAAAUCAGAUUAUAAGAAUAUGAUAUCUGCUAAAUCAUGAUAUUCAAGGAAAGCUGAGGACGACAAUGGGAGGCAAUGGAGUGCAUGAUCAAGGAAAGGAAAGCAGCUUCAAGAGAAUGCCAAACACGGAGCCUCCAUUUACACUUGGAAAAAUCAAGAAGGCCAUCCCUCCCCAUUGCUUCCAACGAUCCCUUCUCCGCUCAUUGUCCUAUGUUGUUUAUGACCUCUCCUUCAGCUUUCUCUUCUGCUACAUUGCCAUCACAUAUUUCCACCUCCUACCAUCCCCUCUUGCCUCCAUCACAUGGCCCAUCUACUGGCUUCUCCAAGGCUGCAUUCUCACCGGUGUUUGGGUCAUUGCUCAUGAAUGUGGCCACCACGCCUUCAGUGACUACCGGUGGGUUGAUGACACGGUUGGCCUAAUCCUCCACUCUGCACUUUUCAUCCCAUACUUUUCCUGGAAAUACAGCCACCGCCGCCACCAUUCGAACACAGGGUCCCUCGAGCGCGACGAAGUGUUUGUCCCGAAGACCAAGUCCCGUGUCGCAUGGUAUUCCAAGCACCUAAACAACCCACCAGGUCGAGCUUUAAGUCUGGCUGUAUCACUUCUGAUUGGCUGGCCCUUAUAUCUAACCUUCAACGUUUCCGGUCGACCCUAUGAUCGCUAUAGCCCCAUAUAUUCUGAUCGUGAAAGCCUCCAGGUUUACAUUUCUGAUCUAGGCAUUCUUGCUGCAACUUUUGUGCUCUACAGCAUCGCUGUGUCUCGAGGGCUGGCAUUUCUGAUAUGCAUUUAUGGGGUACCGUUACUUAUUGCUAAUGGUUUCCUUGUCACCAUCACAUACUUGCAGCACACUCACCCUGCAUUGCCACAUUAUGAUUCCUCUGAAUGGUGGUGGCUUAGAGGAGCUUUGGCAACCAUGGAUAGAGACUAUGGGAUCCUGAACAAGGUCUUCCAUAACAUUACAGACACGCAUGUAGCUCACCAUCUCUUCUCUAACAUGCCACAUUAUCAUGCAAUGGAGGCUACGAAAGCAAUCAAGCCAAUACUGGGUGAGUUCUACCAGUUUGAUGACACUCCGAUUUACAAGGCCUUAUGGAGGGAGGCAAAAGAAUGCCUGUAUGUUGAGCCAGACGACGGAGCUCCCCAAAAAGGCGUGUUCUGGUACCGGAACAAGUUUUGAUCCUGCUGCCUGCAAAAUCUAGCUAGCUAGAUCACCCCCGAGCAAGGGAUCAGUCAAACUAGUAUAAUUGUGUUGCUAAUAAAUGGGGCUGAAGGAGUUGUUGAGCCAAUAAUGGGAUAGGCGUGUGAUGAAAUUCAGCUUCUGAGUGCUUCUCUUAGUGUUUGUUUGUCAAUGCGGGCGUGGUUCAUCCGCAUUUCUAAAUUAAAAACUUGAAAAGAUGAUAUUUGGAGUUUGGAAAAUAUGUUCUUACUUUUCAAUUAGCUUUUGUUUUUAGACCAACGAAGCAAGAUUUCUAAUCAUCUAUGAUUAUAAUGAAACCUACGAACAUAAUUUAGUCAGGAAAAUACAGAAGAAAUACUGAAAACCACAAACAAUAGUAGCAAACAAAUUUAAGAAAGAAAUGUUGAUCCCGCUCAUAUCUUUCAACUAAUAACAAAUAAAAUCAUGAUUUGAUUUUCAAGCAUUCUACUAGUUAGAAUACAAUUAGAUUUUCGUCAAGCCUAUUGCUUCUUUAUUUAAUAGCUAAUUACCAACCAAUUAUAUUAUUUACAAUCCAUCAAUCAAAAAAAGAUAUGGCAUUUGGUGGCCUUAUAUUGAGAUUGAGUUUAUCUCUCCAUUUUUUUUAAUAAGCUAUCCAUCAACAUUAAAUUAAAAUUCAUAAGAAAAUGAAUGUUUUUUCUAUAUACAAAAAUAGAUAUUUUCUAUUCUUUAUUAUAAUGCUUUUUUUAGUUUUUAUUUUCCUAUUCAUAAGAAAAUGAAUGCCUUUUCAUAUAAAAUAUAGAUAUUUUCUAUUCUUUAUUAUAAUGCUUUUUUUUAGUUUUUUCCUAUUUAAAACAAAUAUUUUUUCUAGUUUAGUUUUUCUAUUUAGUAUUAUUAGAAUUUUUUAAUUUUUUUUAUAUAAAGUGUUGUAAUAUAACUUUCUUGGCAAGUGAAGACAAAGAAGAAUAAAAAUUAAAUAUUUUGAUUGUCUCCUUAUAGUUAUGGUGUUUUUGAUGUUUAAAACUUUUGACAUGUAAUAAACCCUUUAAUCCUUCGCUCUUGUAUGCAUUAAUUGAUAUUAAAGCCCAACUAUUAAUGGUUAUUUUGCUUUGCUAUGUUACAGAACAACCAUGAUUAUAGAACAUGAUAUGCUUGUGUAGAAGGUGAUGGUGGGGUUCCUUUCAGAAAGAAAGAAAAAAAAUUCAAGAACUAGUGUGUUGUUUUCAUCUAUGUCAUUUAAUAUUGUUUAAAAUUCUAGUGGUGGGACCCAUAAUGGAGCGGCUCACUCAGAGAUGCUGUGUUAGGAACCCAUGAUGAGAUGACCUCCAUAAAAAUAUGUUCUUGAUGAAUGGUAAUUUUUUAAAUGUAUACUAAACUCGAUGACAAUAUCCUUGAUCCAGAUCUGUGAGACUAAUGUAAGAACUUUUUUAUGAAAAUAUAUAUUUUUAUUAUUUUUUUAUUAUGAUGCUUUUAUAUCACUAUUCAUACGGUACUGUUCACACAGCAUAAAAAAAAAAAUCAAAAAUAUUUGUUUCAGCAUUUUAUAAUUUUUCCGCGUAGUUUUUUUUUUAUGCCAUUUUGAUUAAUAUCGGGCAGUAUGUUUACAUCGUAAAAAUAUAAAUCCGGUAUUAAAAUACCCGUUUUUCGGCAAAAACUUCCAAAAAUAAAUAAAAAAAAAUUGAAAAAAAAGAUAAAAAAUGUUUUUGUGCAUACGGCCAAGUGUCUCAAAUCUAAAAAAUCAUAUCGUAUUUUGCAUGUCAAAAAAAAUAAUAUUUUAGCAUGCAUUUUGGCUUUAAUAACCAGUUUAUUAAAGUCAAGAGAACAUUGGCCAAAAUCUCAAAAACAACAAAAUAUUUUAUUUUGUUUGAUUUUAGUAUCAGAGAUUAUGAAUUUAUACGUAAAUCGUAUUCCUGAUAUUAAAAAGAUAUUUUCUUUUGACGACUUCGAAUAGUUAGUUUUUACCCGAUAAAGAUAAGGAUCUCCUUACAGAGGAGGACUUUUCUUAAACCGUAAACGAACCAACAAUUCAAAAACCACAACACGAUUUUAGAUUUUAUCAGACAUUAAAACAAUGCAGCCUACCUUAGGUAGGGCGUAGUUGGGGUGCUAAUACCUUCCCUUUACGCAACCAGUCUCCGUACCCGAUCUCUAAAGACCAGUUAAGGUUCCUAGUAACCAGAAUACUAGGUGGCGACUCCCAGUCCAUAUUUUCACAUAUAGAGACAAGAAUUCCUUGUCUCUCCCAUUUUCCAGGAAUAAAUAUUCCGAUUUUUCCUUGAGGGUGGACGAUCGCCGCGCCGCCGCACACGUGCGACAGAAUGGCGACUCCACUGGGGACCUUGUGGACUAAGCAUUGUUUUGUCUAUUUAUUUUUUUUUGUUGUAUUGUGUUUUAUUUUUAAAUAUGCAUUUCCAUUUCUUACGCGCUUUAAUUUGUACAUAUUUGUUCAUGCAUUAUAGAUUGUGUCAUGCAUCAUUCAUAUGAGAGUUUGUACUGAAAAACUUUAAGUUAAGUGGGAGACUAGCAGCUUACCUUACGACUUUUAGUCAAGGUUUAAGUUUGUGUAAACCCCAACUCUUCGCUGAGUGCUUAGACUGGUAACAGUUGGUACACGUGCCAUCUCAUUGCCUACAAGCCCCCAUAUUGCCUCCACGAGGGCGAAAUCACUGGGACAACAAGAGACCCUUUUUUAGAGACUGAAUAGCCAACCUACCCAUGUUCACAUAAUAAAACUUGUCCUUAGUUUGUAUGUGCUAUCGUUAUUUGCAUCCGAGCAAACCCUUCUUGAAGCAUCUUGAACUCCAGACUUUUGGGUGACACAUUGACCGUCGCUCAGAAAAUUUUCAUUGUAGAGUUUGUGCAAGAAUCAAGAUUCUUGUUUUCAUCAUACAAGAGUUGCGACCAUAUGUCACCCCUCGAAGGGCGAGUUCAUCAUAUAUAGUACAUGUUCAUACAUUUAACAUGCAUACAUGGCAGAUUGAAAUAUAGGUCCCUAAAAAGUCUACAACACCCGACUUCGAGCAAGAAACAUGGAAGAUGAAGAGCGUGCUCAACGUGAGGCCUAUUUGAACGAAAGAGUUGGAGUCUCUGAAAAUAAGUGUGGCUCACCUCACUAGCUUACUCAAGCAAACAUUAAGAAAUACCUCUGAUGAAGGUCCUUCUAAUCAACCGAUCACCUUUAAUCCGGCUCCUACUACAGUUCAGCCUGAGGAAAGAAUGAGCGAACAUGGUCAAGAACCUCAGCAAAAUCCAACAUUUGUGCAGUCAACGACACCUGCACCAUCCCCAACAGUCGUGAAGGCAUCUGCUAAUGAGUCCCACAAGGCUAAGUCAUCUGAUAGCAUUGAUCAAGCUAAGAUAGAGGCGCUGGAAGCCAGACUUAAAGCCAUUGAAGGGAUAGACUUAUAUGACCCGGUCCGGGCAGCAGAGAUGUGUUUGGUCCCAAAUGUGGUUGUCCCAAAGAAAUUUCGUGUUCCUGAAUUCAUCAAAUACAGUGGAACACAAUGCCCCAUGACUCAUCUCAGGUCUACUGCAAUAAAAUGGCUGAGGUAGUACAUGAUGAAAAACUACUAAUGCACUUUUUCCAAGACAGUUUAAGUGGGGCAACUUUGAGUUGGUACAUGAGAUUGGAUAACACAAAAAUUCGCAACUGGAAAAAUCUUGUGGAUGCUUUCGUCAAGCAAUACAAUACAACAUGGACAUUGCGCCCGACAGAACCAGUUUGUCCAAUAUAGAGAAAAAGGAUAAAGAAAGCAUAAGGGAAUAUGCUCAAAGAUGGCGAGAAUUAGCUGCUCAAGUACAUCCCCCACUUCUGGACAAAGAGAUGGUCUCUUUAUUUGCCAACACACUCAAAGCACCAUAUUACGAACAUAUGAUGGGUAGUUCAGCCCAACAAUUCACUGAUGCUGUGAUAGUGUGUGAACGCAUAGAGCAAGGUGUCAAGAGUGGUAGAAUUGCUGCACCAACCGAGAAAAGAGGCGUCGAAAGAAAAGAGGUUCACCAUGUUGAAGAUGGCUACAGGGUAAAACAAAUACAUCCCAAAAUUACCAUACUCCAUCCCAAAUUGCCAACAUCAAAAAACCUGAACCCCAAAACUUUCAAGCCAAAAGCCAAAUUGGAAAUUUCCAAAGGGUUCAAGAACAACUACCUCCACUACCGUUACCCCUGAAUGAGAUGUAUCAAAAGCUAUUAAGCAUCGGGCAAAUAGCUCCAGAACCUCUAACACCUCUGCAGCCACCUUAUCCUAAUUGGUACAAGCCAGAACUCAAUUGUGAAUACCAUGCCGGUAUUACUGGGCAUAGCAUCUAUACCUGCAACGCCUUCAAGAGAAAGCUUCUGCAAUUAAUCAAGGCUGGGUGGAUAGAAUUGGAAGAUGCCCCCAAUGUGAAUACGAACCCGUUGCCUAAUCAUGCUUGAAGCAUAUUAGGAUGGAAUGUUUGGGGAAUUGGAAAGCAUCAAUGGUCCAGCAUGAUAGCUUGAAUUUUGUAGAACUCAAAUUUGACCGUGGUGUUGUUCCGCAUUGUCUUUGAGUCCUCUACGCAGAGCUUUUGAGAGGAGGUUAGCCUAUGAACAGAUUCGCCAAAAUAGAGGAAUGAAGCCUACCUUGUUAUUGCCUUUUGUUAAUGCUUUUGAAUAAGACUUUCUCUGUUAAUGUGCUUCUCUUGUGAAAUAAGAUCAUGUGUUUUCUUGUGUUCACAUCACACUCUUCUUUGUUGUUAUUACAUGUAAAUAACAUUUUGAGCGCAACUUUGCUCACAACACUACAACAUGAAGAAUCCUUUGGUGUUCCUUUCUUCCAAACCCAUACAUUAAUCUCAUAUGUUUUCAAGGAUAUUUUUUGGGACCUCCAAAGUGAGUACAAAAACAAAAAUCGUGUUGAUAUUUGUCCAAAACAAAUGCAUUUUGAAAAUUCAAGUGAUUCCUUAAAUAGGUACACAUAUACCUAGAAAACUUGAAAGAAAAAAAGACAACAAAGACAAACAACACUAUGAGGUGACUCAAAAGCUGAGUUUUAUUUGACUGAAUAAAUCACUUUGCAUACGCGCAUGAAAGCAAGACCUAUCGAUCCUCAUGCAUGAGUUUGAGAUGAGGAAAGGCCAUCUUUGAUAAUCCUUUCACAAGGCUAAAAAUAUAUCCGUUGCAGUCCCAUUUUGAGCCUAGUUUUUUGGAAAUAACCUUGACUAGGAUCACACCCCACACUGGGGGGCAAAAUAGAGUUUGUUGUUUUUACCAUCCAGACAAAGCAGUGAAGAUGGGUGCUGGAAUUGAUCAUGUAAUUUUUAAUCUUUCAUUAUCAUCAAAUGAACAGUUGAAGAAAAAAGGAUGGAUCUAAAAGAUUUGAGCUUCUCAUACAAACAACUGAUAUGAUUGUGCUCAACCAAACAAAAACAAAGAAAACAAAGAGAAAAGCCCAAACCCGACACUGGGGGCAGGACAAAUCAUUUUGAAAAAAAACAAUCCAAAAGACAAAAGGUCAGGAAACAAGCACAAGUGAUCCCUAGUCUUGAAAUCCCUUAAACACCUUUUGAUGCCUGCAACAUAUCCAUUUUCUUCGUAACCAAUAGCCAAAGCCUACAUUACAUACCUGAUAAAGCCCUUUCUGAUCAAAGGCAAGCAAUCUGGAUCGGUAUGCAGUGCUUUCUCGUGCGAGUCAAAUCAUUAUUCAUGCAAAUAAAAUAAAUGCUUUGAAUCAAUUCGGUUCUCAAUAACCCUCAAAUUGACAUUUAAACCUUUUGUGACCAACCAGAUGUCACUUCAUCUUUAAACAAAAGCAAAAAGCUUUCAUCACUUCAAGAAACCUGUCCAUAGGAAUCACUUGAAUUUUUAGAACAAGUUUAUUUUGAACCAAUAUCAAAAUCAUUUUUGUGAUUGGAAUAACUUGGAAGUUCCAAAAAUUUUGCAUGAAAACAUUUCAUUGUACAAAAAACCCAAACUUACUUUCACACAUCCUUACCCCAAACUAAACCCAAGUUGAACACUUGGGGGGCAUGAUCAAGCUGGGGGGCAAUCAAAAACACAUGGUAGGGCUGACUCCAUGAUUCCUGUUCUAAGGAAAAUGUCGGGUAAAAUUGGUAACUCUUGAGAUAAAGGGUGAAGGACAAAGAUGUAUGAUGACAUCAAACCCCUCUUAGAGGUCAAGAUCACAAGAUGUAACCCGAUAAGCAAAAGUGGAAAAGCCAUCGAAGUUUACUACCAACACUACAACUUUUGAGAGAAAAGAAAGACACCAUGAAGAAAUGGGGGCCUAUAUUUCUCAGGUAAGUAUACAUGCAUAUCAAUCAUAAUGCAUUUGCUUUUCAACAUUGACAAUCAUUGUUUCAACACCAUUCCUUCGGUAGUGCGUUUUCUAACCCUACCUCCGUUUGAGUGCGCCUUUGAGCCCUCGCCUUCAUUUUGAGUGCGCCUUUGAGCCCUCAUCCCUUUGGUAGUGCGUUUUCUAACCCUACCUCCGUUUGAGUGCGCCUUUGAGCCCUCACCUCCAUUUUGAGUGCGCCUUUGAGCCCUCAUCCCUUGGUAGUGCGUUUUCUAACCCUACCUCCUUUUGAGUGCGCCUUUGAGCCCUCACCUCCAUUUUGAGUGCGCCUUUGAGCCCUCAUCCCUUGGUAGUGCGUUUUCUAACCCUACCUCCCUUUGAGUGUGCCUUUGAGCCCUCACCUCCAUUUUGAGUGCGCCUUUGAGCCCUCAACUCUUUGGUAGUGCGUUUUUCUAACCCUACAUCUUUUCGAGUGUGCGUUUAAGCCCUCGCCAUCCAUUUCUCCAUGUUUCUUUAUCUGGGUAGGUCACCCAUUACAAUGAGACCACACUUCAUAUUCUUUCCUUUUUCUUUGGGUAGGUCACCCAUCAUAAUGAGAACGUUUUUUUCAUUCUUUCCACCUGGGUAGGUCACCCAUUAUAAUAAGACCGUUUUUUUUUCACAUUUCUUUUGUUUUGGUUAAAUGAGGUUGCCAGAUGGGAUCUCAUGUAGCUUUGGUUAAAGGGAAUCUCCAUAUGAGAUUUCAGGUUGACCGAGCUAAACACACAGGAUUUUGGUUCUGGUUAGAGGGGAUUGCCGAAAGGAAUCUCAGUCUAUCCCAACCACACAGGUUUUUUGGUUCUCGUUAGAGGGGAUUAGCGAAAAGAAUCUCAGUCUAUCCUAACCACACACACAUAAUAUUUUAGGUUCUGGUUAAAGGGGAUUGGUGAAAGGAAUCUCAGUUUAGCCCAACCACACACAGGACUUUGGGUCCAAUUGAAGUUUUAGGUCAAUCAAAUUUUAAGACGAACUGUUUCGGAAAACCAACUUUGUUUUAUCUUUACAACACUUACUAUGCACAAAUCUUUGCUCCGUAAGCAUUGUAAAGAGGGGGGCAACUGUUGUAACCCAUUUUUGGGUCCCCACAUAUAAAAUAAUAAAAUACAAAAAAAUUCAAAAAAAAUAUAUUACAAAAAAAAUAUAACAGUGAAAAAUGCCGGAGCGCCCUAAAAAUGCUAAAAAAAAAUUUGUUUGAGGAUGUUCAAAAAUAUAAAAAUUAUUUUUUGACAGUAUAUCAUUAACUGAUGAGAGCCCCGAUGAUAAAGAAAAUUCAAUUUGUGGAAGAAAAAUGCAAAAUCAGAAGUUUAUGGACUCAAUUAAAUUUUAUUAAAGGUUUAAUUGCAUUUAUGAAGAUUUUAAUUGCAAGAAAAAAUGAUUUUGGAGUUAAUUUGGGCUUUAAUUAGGAGAAAUUAAUUUUCUAGGGUCAAAUUAUAAUUUUUGGAAGUUAAUUUGGUCAAAUCAGGGGCUUAAUUGCAUAAAUAUUGAGGUUUAAUGGCCAAUUAGGGACUGAAUUGAAGAAAUCCGAGACCAAGGACUAAAUUGUAAAACGCGCGCAAAUGGAGGGCCGAAAUUUGAAUCUGAUUCUUUUGGCGCCUUUUUCCUUUUAAAUGAAACGGCGCGUUUUGACCAAAACAGCGCCGUUUCAUUCACUGUUGAAAAAAAAAAAAAAAAAAAAAAAACAGAAGCCCAAAACGGUGCCGUUUUGACGGCACUGUAGCUCUUCUUCCUCCCCUGGACACACGAGGCAGGGGAAGAAGAAGAUUUUUUUCUUCCCCUUUUCGCCUAAUUACUUUCCCUCUUUUGCUCAAAAAGACGCCGAAACAAGGACACCACUUGCCGACCACUUUCCACGCGUUGGACGGGCGGCAGCACACCGGCCACCACCAUGACGUCCCCCCCCCCUUGUUUUUCGCCUAUAAAAACAGGGGAGGAAGAGGAGAAAAAGGAAGACAAUAGAGGGGAGAAGGAAGAGAGAAGGAAGAGAGAAAAGAAGAGAGAAGAGAAGAAAAGAAAAGAAAAGAAAAAAAAACAGAAACAGAAGAAAAGAAAAAAAAAUAGAGGAAGAAGGAGAAGAAAACCCGCCGGCCACUGCGCCUCCGCCACAGUCGCCGCCAGCAGCACCGCCACGACGCCACCACAGGUAAACAACCUCUGCCCCGUCUCCUUCGCCCUUUGCAACUGCCUUCUUUAUUUUCAUGCAGAACGUGAAUUAAUUCACGUUCUGCAACUGAUGAGAGGCUGGUUACUGUGCUUAUGCACAGUAACCAGCCCAUUUAGUUUUGGGCCGGUUCGGCCCAGCCCACUGAAAUGGGUCGGGUCCGGCCCAUUUCAAUUUUUUUAUUUUUAUUUUUAUUUUUUACAAUUUUUCCAACACAUGUUUUUAUCAAUUUUGCUUAAUAUCGGUCUGUAUUUUUACAUCGUAAAAAAAUAAAUUCGGUAUUAAAAUACCUGGUACUGUUCAUACGGUACUGUUCACACAGCAUAAAAAAAAAAAUCAAAAAUAUUUGUUUCAGCAUUUUAUAAUUUUUCCGCGUAGUUUUUUUUUUAUGCCAUUUUGAUUAAUAUCGGGCAGUAUGUUUACAUCGUAAAAAUAUAAAUCCGGUAUUAAAAUACCCGUUUUUCGGCAAAAACUUCCAAAAAUAAAUAAAAAAAAAUUGAAAAAAAAGAUAAAAAAUGUUUUUGUGCAUACGGCCAAGUGUCUCAAAUCUAAAAAAUCAUAUCGUAUUUUGCAUGUCAAAAAAAAAUAAUAUUUUAGCAUGCAUUUUGGCUUUAAUAACCAGUUUAUUAAAGUCAAGAGAACAUUGGCCAAAAUCUCAAAAACAACAAAAUAUUUUAUUUUGUUUGAUUUUAGUAUCAGAGAUUAUGAAUUUAUACGUAAAUCGUAUUCCUGAUAUUAAAAAGAUAUUUUCUUUUGACGACUUCGAAUAGUUAGUUUUUUACCCGAUAAAGAUAAGGAUCUCCUUACAGAGGAGGACUUUUCUUAAACCGUAAACGAACCAACAAUUCAAAAACCACAACACGAUUUUAGAUUUUAUCAGACAUUAAAACAAUGCAGCCUACCUUAGGUAGGGCGUAGUUGGGGUGCUAAUACCUUCCCUUUACGCAACCAGUCUCCGUACCCGAUCUCUAAAGACCAGUUAAGGUUCCUAGUAACCAGAAAACUAGGUGGCGACUCCCAGUCCAUAUUUUCACAUAUAGAGACAAGAAUUCCUUGUCUCUCCCUUAUUUUCCAGGAAUAAAUUAUUCUGAUUUUUCCUUGAGGGUGGACGAUCGCCGCGCCUCCGCACACGUGCGACAGUGAGGUGAAAAUUAUUCUGUUUUGUUUUGUUUUUUAAAUUGGUAUGAAAUGUUUCGGUCAUUCUGGACAAAACAGAACGGAACCGAUAACCUUGAACUAUAUAAAUACCAAUUAUGUAACUGAAGACAAGAAGUACAGCAUGCUUAUGAAAAGAAAAAAAAAAUAGAAGUAAAAGCCGAAAAUAUAUAAAGGAUGACAAAUGUUUUGGUGAUAUUUCCUCUGUCAAGUUGAUUUGUCCUUGGAAAACCUUGCUUUAAAUAGAACCAAGAAAUUAAAUAAACACAGACAACCGCGCAACAUAGAGAUAAGAAAAAAUCAUGUACGGGAUAAGAUAAAAUUUAUCUAGUUUUUAAAGGUCAUUUGCUAGAAAAUCCCUUCAAUUAAAGGUAUAAAUUAAUCUCCCUAAAAAUAUCCUUCUUCGUUGAUGACUACGCAACAGCCUCAUUAUUCUUAUUAGAACAUUCAUCAAAACUUAUCUGAGCCAUCUUGAGAGCCUGGUGGCGAGUCUCCGAAUCCUGAAGCAGUACCCGACUCGAAAAACUGGCCGCGCCGCGAAGCUUCAAUCUUCCUCUUCUUAGCGUGAUAGCUCAUAUGCCCACCCAAAGCAUUUCCAUUUAUAAAAGAUGCUUUGCAGAUAAAGCAUCUAUGCUUAUGAGCGCGACUUGUUUGGGCUAUUGAUAGAGACCUUGGAGUUCUCCUGAGAGGACUUUUAAAAUGGCUUGACAGGGUUGUGCUACCUAAUAAUUCUUGUUUUGGUUGCAAAUGAUGGGCAUCAGGGAGUUGGAUUUCUUGAGCUUUUGACGACAGGGAGGUAUUCAUCAAGCGUAGAGACAGUGAAAGAUAUUUAGGCAUAUUUAGAUUGGUUUGGUUAAGGCUGUCCAAAUUUGCCACAAGGAUUGGUCGGUCAAUCCUAUUAUUAAGGAUGAUAGGGUUUUGUUGGUAAUUGUUCACGAUCAUCUUAGAGCCAACAUUCAAUCCAACCAAAUGAUUCCCGAGGCUUUGAGCAUUUCUAUCAGUUGUGAAUGCCACAUCACCAUCGCUAUAGCAUGUUGAUGCAUAUUUCAGGAUUCCUGAAAAUUGUGUUUCUUGAUAUUUGACAUAAAUUGUUUGACAAGGAUAGAAGAAAGGUGGGUUCAAAGAAGUAACUCUAGGGGUUGGAAUGAGACGAGGAAGAGAUUGUUGGUUUCUCAAGGCGAUGAAUUGAUGGCUAGUAAUUGGAAGAGAUUGAGGGUUCACCAUAGAAGGAUGAUGAACACCGAUCAAGCCAGAAGAAUGGGGUUGCAGCUCGUCUGUGGCAGUAGGCUUUGUAGCCACUACUACUCUAGGAAAAGGAGCACACUCAAUUUCUGUGUUGGAUACAACCUCUAUUUCGGCCAAUGGUGGAUUUGUAUGGAUGAGAAGAUUUUGAAAUGAUAAAUUUGACGAAGAAAAACUGGCGGUGGACAUGUUUGAAAGAUUUGGGAGCUCAAAUUCUUUGCCCAUGGGGAUAGCUACAUCGAACCAAUCUUCAAUGUAUUGUUGUGGAUCAUGCUCAACUUGCUUGGCCAUAGAACUAGAUGAUUUUCCUGAUGGGAUUUUGGUGAGAGAGGAUAGGCUAAUGUGUGAUCAUAUAUAGAUUCACCUAAUCAAUACACAGUUAAAUACACACUCUCACACCAUUACUUGGCCACGAAUUCAUUAAAAGAUGCAAGAACAAUAUCAAUGGAAAGUAAGGUGUUGAACAAUAUCAAUAUCAAUGAUAUAUCUUCCUGGCAUGAGAAAAAAUUUCCAUGCGUGGAAAUGGGAUUGGUUGUACUUGGUCGUAUAUAUAGUAUGGAAUUCAAUUUCUUACUUUCUUUAACUCUCUUUUUUUGGUGUAUUUCUUUUUAUGCAUUUUAUUUUUCACUAAUUUGUAAUAUAAGGAAAAAAAAUAAAAAAAAUAAUUAAAAUUAACUAUACAGUUAAUCUACUUUUUUCUAGUGUGUGUGUGGGCGUGUAUAAAAUUAAAGUCCUUUAUACACACACACACACACACUAGGUCAUACAAAAUAAUAUUUAAUAUGAAAUAAUAAUAUUUACUAUAAUUUAACAAAAUAAUAUUUUUUUUUAUUUUUCUAAAGUUAAAAUGAAAAAUGCUAAUGCAUAAUCAUAUUUGGAAGGGUUGGACUUGUUGAGCUGGGCUUGUAAUAUUUAUUUAGACCUGUUACCAGGCAGUUUAAUUUGUACCCUAUAUUGGGUUAAUAGGCCUUGAGAUUUAUGGUUAGGCCUAUUUUGAAAAAAAUAUGCGAAAGCAUAUAUUUCUAUAUUUGAUAGGAAAAUGAAAAAAAAAACUUUUAAACACAUAAAAAUCCUGUUUACUAAUUACUUUAACAUUUGAAAUUCAUGUUUUUGGAACUAGAAAAUUACUCUUUAAAUUCUUCAUUUAAAAAAACUACCCUCUAAAUUCUAAAAAAAAAAUCUUGUUUAGUUUUUUUUAGAAAAAUAAAAGUGUUAUUUCAUUGUUCACUAGAAUAAUAAAAUAUGUGUUGGAUCACAUUAUUUUAACAAUACCUUUUAGGUUGAUCAGUGCUUUAUCUAUGAAUUGAGAAUAAUAAAAAGCUUAACCUAUUAGUUAGCCACCAUUUUCUUUUUAUAUGUGUAGGGCAAUAUAUAAUAGUUCAUAUAGAGUUUACAAUACAUGAUUAAUAAAUCUUUUCUAAAUAUGUACAAGCCUUUACUAUUUAGUAUAUUAUAAUAGGCCUCCUUAAACUGAGGGUAGGGAUUCUAUUCGAAGUUUGAACCGAAAAACAGUAAAAGAAGAAGUGGAGAUAAGUUUUAUAAGAACAUUUAUAAUUUGAUCAACUGAAAGAAUCAAGCAAAUCUAAAUGGCUUUUGUAGCAACUCUAUCACGGAUAAAAUAAUAACCAACUUCAAUAUGCUUAUUAUGAAUAUAAAAGAUAGGUUUUGCAGACAAAAAAGUAGCAUUUAGAUUAUCACACUAAAUCGUAGGCACUAAAGGAGUAAUGUGCAGAUUUGACAAUAAAUAUUGAAGUCAUAUGACUUCAGAAGUGCUAUCAGCCAAGGCUUUAUACUCAAUCUCGGUAGAAGACCAAGCAACUGUGCAUUGUUUCCCAGACUUUCAAGAAAUCAGUGUAUAUCAAAAGAAAAUAAGAUAGUCACCCGUAGAUUUACAAUCAUCAACACUACUUGCCUAAUCAACAUUUGUAAAACCAUGCAAGGUGUCAUAACCCAAUUUUUAAACAAAUAAUAAAAAUUAAAUAUAGUUAGUAAUUGGGUUAAGACAACAAAUCUUGAUGUUUAAGGAUAAAAUUAUCAGUUUUGAGAAUAAAUUGGUCAAAAUUGAAGAAUUAAUAAGUUUGGAAAUUUACUUAAAAUUUGGAUUAGUUUAAUUAAUGAAAUUAAAAAAAUUAAUAAGUUUGUGGACUUAAUUAAACUUUAAUUUAAUUAAUUAAAUAAAUUCAGGGACUUAAUUGAAAUUUAUCCAAAAGGGGCAAAAUUGAAAGAAUUAAUUAAGGACCAAAUUGAAUAAUCCAGGAAUUAAGGACUGUUUUGUAAACAGUGCACCAAUUUAGGGAUUUAAGUGAAAUUUAUCCAAUAAAAGGGCAAAAUUAAAAGAAAUUUUUAAUUUUGCUUAAGGGUCCAAUUGCCAAAUUUCUAAAGUUCAGGGAUCAAAAUGGAAGUGUCCAUUGCUGUUUGAAACGUCGUCGUCGGUGGUAGAAUCCCUUGCUGCCAAAACGCCGCCGUUGUUGGUGGAACAACCGUGUGAUCUUCUUCAUCCCGAUUCAACCGGAGACCUGAAAAUCUGCAACAAAUUCAAUCGUGGACCGAGUCCCUUGCACACGAUCUCGUUCGUGGAGGAUACAGUCCUGCAAAGGCAGGACUGAUUAGAGGCAAGCUUGGGGAUCUCUAUAAAUGAGAGACUAAAAACCAGACACAGGAAGGAGGAAAAAGCCAGAAAAAAAGACGAAAGAAAAAGCCAGAAAAACAAAGAAGAAAAACAACAAAAACAGAGCAAUUCUGUCGCACCCGACAGAGCAAACAAAACACAAUCAAAAAAAGAAAAUACAGAGAGAGGAACGAAGACACAGGGGAAGGGGAAACAGCAAAAAAAAAUAACAGAGUGAAAGCAAGAACGAGAAACCAGACUAAAAAGGAGAAUUAUAUUCGCCAUUAGGAGAAUCCCUGCAGAAAAAGCAACCCGAAAUCAGUAAAAAACCUCAAAGAACCCAUUACCUCUCAGCUUCUUCACACUGAGAAUCGAGAAAUCAAAAGCAAGGAAAACAGAGAGGUCACAGCGGGGAGAGAAGGGAGAGUAGCCGGACGAGGGUAACAGUCACCAGCAUCGCGAUCUUCUUCAAUCGCCAGAAACAGGUGCGCCUUCGCUAUACAUUUUUUUUUUCUUUCUUUUCUGUUCUUCGUUGAUUCAAAUAACGUUUGAACAGUGCGAAGGUAAUUUAAUUACCUUCGCACUGUUGAUGCACGCGUGAUCUGUAUCACGCGUGCAUCUGUUUUGUUUUUAAAACCGGGUCACUGGCUUGGGCCAGUGACCCGGUCCAGACUGGCUGGGUUCAGCCCAGCCCCUGUGGGGCUGAGCUGAGCCCAGCCAAAGGUAUGUAUGCUGGGCUGGGUUUAGCCCAGCCCAGCCCCAAAAAUAUAUGUAUGCUGGGCUGGGUUUAGCCCAGCCCAGCCCCAAAAAAAAAAAAUAAAUAAUAAUAAAAAUAAAAAAUGCAUAUGCAUGAAUAAAAAUAAUGUAAAUUUAUUGGUUUAUUCACUGACGCCAGAGUCAGAAUAAAAAACACGGUUUAAAUUUUAUAUUAUUUUUAUUCGUUGCAUUUUAUCUAGCUAAAAAAUAAAAAAUUGCAUGCAAAAAAAAUAUAAUAACAUAAAAUAAAAUAAAUUUAUUGGUUUAUUCACUGACGCCAGAGUCAGGAAUAAAAAUACUAAUAAAAAUUUAUUUUAUUUUAUUUUAUUGUAUUUUUACCUUUAUUUAGCUACAUAAAAUAAAAAUAUUGCAUGUAAAAAUAAAAAAUAAAUUAUUUUAUUUGUUUAUUCACACGCCAGAGUCAGGAAUAAAAAAAAAUUAUUUAAAUUUAUUUUUAUAGCUACGUAAUAUUUACCAACGCCAGAGUUGGAAAUAUUCGUAGUUAAUAUUCACUGGCGCCAGAGUCAGGAAUAUUAAGCAAAUUUUCAUAUAAAAAAUAAACAUUUAGCAAUUUAAGACGAAACUAGCAAUGCAGCCUGCCUCAGGCAGGACGUUUAAGGGGUGAUAAUAUCUUCCUUUUACGUAACCAGUCCCGAACCAUAGAAUCUCUGUUGACCAGUUAGGGUUCCUAGUGACCAUAAUACUAGGUGGCGACUCCUUAAACAAGAAUAUUCCCAUAAAGAACAGGAUGCCAGAAAUCCGUUCUUUCCAAAGAUUUAAAUUAAUUUUUAAGGCCGCCGCGAUGUCGGGUGACAGAAUGGCGACUCCACUGGGGACUAAUGGACUAAGCUUUGCUUUUGUUUAUCAAUUUAUAAUGUUUUUAUGUUGUUUAUUUGUUUAUUUUUCUUGAAUUUACUGCUUUAGCAUGCAUCCAUGUUUAUAUUGUCAUGCAUCACGUUGAGAGCACACACCUAAAUCUAGGAUAAGUGGGAAAGUAACGGUACCCCAAUGGCUUUAGCCUGGGUAAGACUCGUGAAACCAUCCAACUCUCGCUUGAUUGUUUACUUGGAAGUGGUUGAUAUGCCAAACUGAUAUUACUCAGGGCCUCUAUUUUCACACUACUUGUAAGCCUCAUAUCGACCUUUCAUGGACGAUCACUGAGCAUGCGAGAGACCCUUUGAAACUAGAUAAUGACCAACCCUUUGAUGCACUCAACAAUUAGGAUCUUCCUAUUAGGUUGUCAUCCCGUGAAGGACGUGUCUGCAUUCCAUACGCAUUUUUAAUUGAAUCAACAUUUUUGCAUAAAUUGCAUGAUUUACAUUUACAGGUUGAAAUAUAGGUUCCCAUUUGAAACCUACAUAUAAUAAACCCUUUCGAGAAAAGACAAAUGGAAAACGAAGAAAGAGCCCAGUUGGAAGCCCAACAUCAAAAAGAGGUGGACAAUCUUAAAGAAGAAGUCGCAAGGCUUACUAGUCUACUCGAGCAGGCCUUGAGAGAUAAAUCCGGAAAAGCAACACUUACAGCUCAGCCUGAACCUAUGCUUGUAAAUCCCUUCAAUCUACAGAAUCUGGGGGCAAAUGGGUUGUCAUCUGAUUUUCCACAAGCCAUGCAUUUUCAUCCAGCAUACCCCACGAGAAUGUCGUUUACCAUUGAUUCUACAAAGAAUAAAUCUCAAAAGGGCAAAAUGGUAAAAGAAGAUGAGCUGAACAAAUUCAUUGCCCUAGAACAAAGGAUGAGGGCAUUUGAGGGAAUUCACCUAUAUGAUCCUAUAAAGGCUGUUGAGAUGUGUUUGAUGCCCAACGUGGUCAUUCCAAAAAAAAUUUAGAGUGCCAGAAUUUGUUAAAUAUACGGGAACUCAAUGCCCUAUCAUCUCAAAGCAUACUGCAACAAAAUGGCUAAGGUGGUUCAUGAUGAGAAACUGCCGAUUCAUUUAUUUCAAGACAGUCUGAGUAAUGUUGCCCUCACUUGGUAUAUGCGGUUGGAUAAUACCAAAGUUAAAAAAUGGAAGGAUUUAGUUGAUGCUUUCAUGAGGCAAUAUAAGUUCAAUAUAGAUGUGGGCCCUGAUCGUUUAAGCUUGCAAGUUAUGGAGAAGGACAACAAGGAGUCCAUAAGAGAAUACGCUCGGAGAUGGAGUGAGUUAACUGUACAAGUUAACCCUCCCAUGUUGGAAAAAGAGAUGAUCAAUUUAUUUUCCGACACCUUUAAAGCUCCGUACUUUGAAUACUUGAUUAGAAGCUCUGCACAACAUUUCACUGACCUGGUUGUUAUAGCUGAGAGGAUUGAACAAGCCAUUGGGUUAGGUAAGAUUGCUAACCCGACUGAGAAGAACGGUUUCACUGAAGGUGGUUGCCAACGCAUUUAUCAUUUCUAUAGCUAAUUGCUUCACAUCGACUCCUAGAAAUCAACUAUCUUGAAGAUAAAGCUAUGGUGAUAUUAGGUCGAGAAUGAUCUACAUUUGAUUUCAAUUGACUGUUGAAAAGAUGCCCUUGUCGAGGAGAAUGAAUGAUUGAAAUAUUCCAGAAAUUCCAAUCAAUGAUCGCUAAAUGUUUAGCCCCUUUAUAUGUUAUCAUGCCAGUAUUCAUAGCCCAAGAUGUUGUCAUAAGUUCUUUCUUGUUGAACUUAUUUUCUAAAGUUUCAAUGAAAAUAAUGAGUUUGUCAUUCAAUCGUGUUUACGAUUAGCAUUAUUCAUUUUUUUCUGAGAGAGUUUUCUUAUAAAGAUUCACAAACACAUCUUUGAAGCCUUGUGCGAUCUCAUAGACGCAAUUCAUCUCUUUUACCAAAAAUCAGUUUCCCUAUUGGAGUUUUGAAAAAAAAUUGAUCUGGCAUUUUGAUUUCAAAAAAAUAAUUCGAUGUUUAUUCAAAAACGAUAUUUUUGACAUUCUACUUGUAGAAUGACAAGUGAAUCGAACAACUCCAUCAUUGAGGUGAUUAAAUUAGAAAAACAAUUAUGAAAAAAAAAAAGAAUAAACACCCUUACCCCAUUACUCUUGAAUCAUGUGUUUUUAAAUGUAUGAAUAAUGGUAUGUAGUGAACUUGUUACUCAUAACUCAUGAAAUGCAUCUUUGCAAAGAAUAAACCAUCACACUAUACGAGGUCAAAGUUUAUUGAUCAUAGCUGCUUGCGCUUGAAAUGAGGAAAGGCCAUCUUUGUUAUUCCUUUCACGUUCUAAAAUAAGUACAUCCCUUGCAAACCCUUUUUGAGCCUGAAUAAUUUUUCUUCCAUAAAAAAAUCCCAACUAAGAUCACACCCUACACUGGGGGCAAGUGAAAUUUCAAUGAUCAAGAAGGAUGAUAAAGCCAAAAGGCAAAAGAGCCCAAGAAACUCAAAUGCUAGGGAUCAUGCCCACAUCACAAAAAAGGAGGCAAGUGAAAUUUCAAUGAUCAAGAAAGAGGAUAAAGCAGUGAGAAAGCCAAAAGGCAAAAGAGCCCAAGAAACUCAAAUACUAGGGGGCAUGCCCAUAUCACAAGAAAAAGUGAUAACCAAGAUAAAGUGAGUAUGCUCUAGUGGAGCAAUGAAAAAGAAUAAAAGGGGGCAAAUCAAAAAAGAGCGGCAAAGGAAAAUAUGAAUGACGUCAAAAGUCAAACUAUUGAUCGUGAUCUUCAGUCUUUGAAACCCUGAAACACUCUUUGAGCCUUAUGAAUCAUUUUCUUUCAUAGCCAAAAACCACAGCCUAUGUUACGUGCCUGUAGAAGUCCUUUCUAAUCAAGCAAGCAAGCAAUCUAGAACAAUAAACAAUGCUCUCAAAAUGCAAAGAAUACUUCUUCAUAAGAUUCAUGACAUCAAGAAUAAACUACUCAUUAUUAUUCAUGCUGAUAAAAAUAAAUGUUCAAAAAGAGACAAGUUUUUCUCAUACAAAACCUCGAGCUUUUUCUCGAGCCCUUCACUUCAAAACAAAAGGUCAUCUCAUGAUAUUUUCACCGAAGACCUGUUACCAAACACAAGAGCAAAUAAUCUCUUUUCCAGAAAGAAAAUAACCAAGGAGUUGCAAGAUUUCAAAAGCAAAUUGUUAUUGACUCACAUCGAAAUAAUUUUUGUUUUCAAAAUGCAAGAUCAAGAUUUCAAGAUUCAUUCUAGACCCAUAUUCCUUCACCAAACUGAAAAGGAGAGAAAUGAGAGAAUGGCCUCUUAAAACCUUUAUUUAUCUAAGUCGUGACAGAAGCACACUUAGGGGCAAUAACCAAUACAAGGGGGCAACAUUGUGUUUAGAAGGAAAGAUUCUAGAAAAGGAGAUGGUAAUUUCCUUCAACCAGACAAGGGGGCAUUUUGGUUUACAAAAGACAGCUCGAUCCUUUCAAAGUGAUACCGAAUGUUUUUAGCAGUGAGACGAGGGGUAAUGAAUAAUCCUCUCAAAUUAUUUGACGAAUCAGAAAAAUUUAGCAAGCAAGUGGGUCACGAUGGGCACCACAAAUGCUGAGUUGUGCAAACAAAUUUGGAAUAGACUUACAUGGGCCAACUCGAGUGGGCUAGAAGUCAACGACAAAGAUGACUCAAAUCAGAUAGCAAGAUCUCACCAACAAUCAACAAGAAGAUUGUGAAGAAAUGGGGGCCUAUAUUUCAAAUCAGGUAAAGAUGCAUGCAUAUCAUCUAAACUUUGAGACAUUGAGCAAUGAUUUCUGCAUUAGAAAAAAAUUCGAACAGAAUCCAUCCAGUGGAAGGCCACCUUGAAAUGGCGAACAUUGAAAUUGCUUUUGAAAAAUUUUCACUUUUGAGAAUUUUUCAACCUGGGCAGGCCGCCCAUGAGAAUUAGGCCACCAAAAAAAUCUCUGUAUUUUUCCACCACUUUUCAGCCUCAACCUCGUCUGAGUUCUUUUCGAGCGCGCCUUCGAGCCCUCGACCAUUAUAGGUAGUGCAUUUCCUAUCCUACCUCCAUUCGAGCGCGCCUUCGAGCCCUCGUCUUAUUUUUUUUCGAGCGCGCCUUCGAGCCCUCGACCACCAAAGGUAGUGCAUUUUCUAUCCUACCUCCAUUCGAGCGCGCCUUCGAGCCGUCGUCUUAUUUAUUUUCGAGCGCGCCUUCGAGCCCUCGACCAUCAAAGGUAGUGCAUUUUCUAUCCUACCUCCAUUCGAGCGCGCCUUGGAGCCCUCGUCUUACAUUCGAGCGCGCCGUCGAGCCCUCGUCUUAUUUAUUUUCGAGCGCGCCUUCGAGCCCUCGACCAUCGAAGGUAGUGCAUUUUCUAUCCUACCUCCAUUCGAGCGCGCCUUCGAGCCCUCGUCUUAUCCAUUCGAGCGCGCCUACGAGCCCUCGUCUUACAUUCGAGCGCGCCUUUGAGCCCUCGUCUUAUCCAUUCGAGCGCGCCUUCGAGCCCUCGUCUUACAUUCGAGCGCGCCUUCGAGCCCUCGACCAUUAAAGGUAGUGCAUUUUCUAUCCUACCUACAUUCGAGCGCGCCUUUGAGCCCUCGUCUUAUCUCCAUUCGAGCGCGCUUUCGAGCCCUCGUCUUAUCCAUUCGAGCGCGCCUUCGAGCCCUCGUCUUACAUUCGAGCGCGCCUUCGAGCCCUCGACCAUUAAAGGUAGUGCAUUUUCUAUCCUACCUACAUUCGAGCGCGCCUUCGAGCCCUCGUCUUAUCUCCAUUCGAGCGCGCCUUCGAGCCCUCGUCUUAUUUCUCUUCGAGCGCGCCUUCGAGCCCUCGACCAUUAAAGGUAGUGCAUUUUCUAUCUUACCUCCAUUCGAGCGCGCCUUUGAGCCCUCGUCUUAUCUCCAUUCGAGCGCGCCUUCGAGCCCUCGUCUUAUUUCUUUUCGAGCGCGCCUUCAAGCCCUCGACCAUCAAAGGUAGUGCAUUUUCUAUCCUACCUCCAUUCGAGCGCGCCUUCAAGCCCCCGUCUUAAAUCUAUUCGAGCGCGCCUUCGAGCCCUCGUCUUACAUUCGAGCGCGCCUUUGAGCCCUUGUCUUAUCUCUAUUCGAGCGCGCCUUCGAGCCCUCAUCUUUUAAAAAUAAAAAAUAAAAAAAGAAAAAAGAAAAAAAAGGAUAGGUUGUCUUCCAAAGGACUUGUUUUCUCUAUAAAAGUCCUGUGUCAAUCUCUGGUUUUCGAAGUUUUCAAGACUCUAAAAAAAAGGCAAAGGUUCUUUCUGUAUCUAAUUUUCUUUAUAAAUUUACUACACAAAGCUAAAAGAAAAUGAAUUUUCUUUUAACAUUGCAUAGUAAAUAUGAUAAAGAGGGGGCAACUGUCAUAACCCAAUUUUUAAACAAAUAAUAAAAAUUAAAUAUAGUUAGUAAUUGGGUUAAGACAACAAAUCUUGAUGUUUAAGGAUAAAAUUAUCAGUUUUGAGAAUAAAUUGGUCAAAAAUUGAAGAAUUAAUAAGUUUGGAAAUUUACUUAAAAUUUGGAUUAGUUUAAUUAAUGAAAUUAAAAAAAUUAAUAAGUUUGUGGACUUAAUUAAACUUUAAUUUAAUUAAUUAAAUAAAUUCAGGGACUUAAUUGAAAUUUAUCCAAAAGGGGCAAAAUUGAAAGAAUUAAUUAAGGACCAAAUUGAAUAAUCCAGGAAUUAAGGACUGUUUUGUAAACAGUGCACCAAUUUAGGGAUUUAAGUGAAAUUUAUCCAAUAAAAGGGCAAAAUUAAAAGAAAUUUUUAAUUUUGCUUAAGGGUCCAAUUGCCAAAUUUCUAAAGUUCAGGGAUCAAAAUGGAAGUGUCCAUUGCUGUUUGAAACGUCGUCGUCGGUGGUAGAAUCCCUUGCUGCCAAAACGCCGCCGUUGUUGGUGGAACAACCGUGUGAUCUUCUUCAUCCCGAUUCAACCGGAGACCUGAAAAUCUGCAACAAAUUCAAUCGUGGACCGAGUCCCUUGCACACGAUCUCGUUCGUGGAGGAUACAGUCCUGCAAAGGCAGGACUGAUUAGAGGCAAGCUUGGGGAUCUCUAUAAAUGAGAGACUAAAAACCAGACACAGGAAGGAGGAAAAAGCCAGAAAAAAAGACGAAAGAAAAAGCCAGAAAAACAAAGAAGAAAAACAACAAAAACAGAGCAAUUCUGUCGCACCCGACAGAGCAAACAAAACACAAUCAAAAAAAGAAAAUACAGAGAGAGGAACGAAGACACAGGGGAAGGGGAAACAGAAAAAAAAAAUAGAGAGGCACACAGAAAUACAUAAAGAAAUAACACGCAGAGCAGGGGAGAAAAAGGGAAGCACACACACAGACAAGGAUUGAUUAUCCCUGCCAUCGUGUUAUCCCUGCAAAAACAAAAAAUAAAGACAACAAUCGGCAUCCACAGUAAACCGGCAUCUCCAUUGUUGUCUCCUUCGUCAUCUCAAAGUCUGUUAAAAACAAAAAGCAGACCGCGGGCACAAGAACGGAAAAAGCAGAAGAAAAGGUAUCAAGCAGGCGAAAGUCACCACCAGCGUUCCAGCCAGAAUCGUCCCCAUCGCCAGGUACGCGACUUCUUCCUCUUGCAUUGUUUCAGUAAUUGACAUUUACACUGUGCAUGAAUCAUGUGUUUUUAAAUGUAUGAAUAAUGGUAUGUAGUGAACUUGUUACUCAUAACUCAUGAAAUGCAUCUUUGCAAAGAAUAAACCAUCACAGUAUACGAGGUCAAAGUUUAUUGAUCAUAGCUGCUUGCGCUUGAAAUGAGGAAAUGCCAUCUUUGUUAUUCCUUUCACGUUCUAAAAUAAGUACAUCCCUUGCAAACCCUUUUUGAGCCUGAAUAAUUUUUCUUUCAUAAAAAAAAUCCCGACUAAGAUCACACCCUACACUGGGGGCAAGUGAAAUUUCAAUGAUCAAGAAAGAUGAUAAAGCCAAAAGCUAAAAGAGCCCAAGAAACUCAAAUGCUAGGGAUCAUGCCCACAUCACGAAAAAGGGGGGCAAGUGAAAUUUCAAUGAUCAAGAAAGAGGAUAAAGCAGUGAGAAAGCCAAAAGGAAAAAGAGCCCAAGAAACUCAAAUACUAGGGGGCAUGCCCAUAUCACAAGAAAAAGUGAUAACCAAGAUAAAAUGAGUAUGCUCUAGCGGAGCAAUGAAAAAGAAGAAAAAAGGGGCAAAUCAAAGAAGAGCGGCAAAGGAAAAUAUGAAUGACGUCAAAAGUCAAACUAUUGAUCGUGAUCUUCAGUCUUUAAAACCCUGAAACACUCUUUUAGCCUUAUGAAUCCUUUUCUUUCAUAGCCAAAAACCACAGCCUAUGUUACGUGCUUGUAGAAGUCCUUUCUAAUCAAGCAAGCAAGCAAUCUAGAACAAUAAACAAUGCUCUCAAAAUGCAAAGAAUACUUUUUCAUAAGAUUCAUGACAUCAAGAAUAAACUACUCAUUAUUAUUCAUGCUGAUAAAAAUAAAUGUUCAAAAAGACACAAGUUUUUCUCAUACAAAACCUCGAGCUUUUUCUCGAGCCCUUCACUUCAAAACAAAAGGUCAUCUCAUGAUAUAUUUUCACCCAAAACCUUGUUACCAAACACAAGAGCAAAUAAUCUCUUUUCCUAGAAAGAAAAUAACAAAGGAGUUGCAAGAUUUCAAAAGCAAAUUGUUGAUUGACUCACAUCGAAAUAAUUUUUGUUUUCAAAAUGCAAGAUCAAGAUUUCAAGAUUCAUUCUAGACCCAUAUUCCUCCACCAAACUGAAAAGGAGAGAAAUGAGAGAAUGGCCUCUUAAAACCUUUAUUUAUCUAAGUCGUUGACAGAAGCACACUUAGGGGCAAUAACCAAUACAAGGGGGCAACAUUGUGUUUAGAAGGAAAGAUUCUAGAAAAGGAGAUGGUAAUUUCCUUCAACCAGACAAGGGGGCAUUUUGGUUUACAAAAGACAGCUCGAUCCUUUCAGUAAGUGAUACCGAAUGUUUUUAGCAGUGAGACGAGGGGUAAUGAAUAAUCCUCUCAAAUUAUUUGACGAAUCAGAAAAUCUUUAGCAAGCAAGUGGGUCACGAUGGGCACCACAAAUGCUGAGUUAUGCAAACAAAUUUGGAAGUAGACUUACAUGGGCCAACUCGAGUGGGCUGGAAGUCAAGCGACAAAGAUGACUCAAAUCAGAUAGCAAGAUCUCACCAACUAAUCAACAAGAAGAUUGUGAAGAAAUGGGGGCCUAUAUUUCAAAUCAGGUAAAGAUGCAUGCAUAUCAUCUAAACUUUGAGACAUUGAGCAAUGAUUUCUGCAUUAGAAAAAAAUUCGAACAGAAUCCAUCCAGUGGAAGGCCACCUUGAAAUGGCGAACAUUGAAAUUGCUUUUGAAAAAUUUUCACUUUUGAGAAUUUUUCAACCUGGGCAGGCCGCCCAUGAGAAUUAGGCCACCAAAAAAAUCUCUGUAUUUUUCCACCUUUCAGCCUCAACCUCUGAGUUUUUCGAGCGCGCCUUCGAGCCAUCGACCAUUAGCAUUUCCUAUCCUAUACCUCCAUUCGAGCGCGCCUUCGAGCCCUCGUCUUAUUUUUUUCGAGCGCGCCUUCGAGCCCUCGACCACAAAGGUAGUGCAUUUUCUAUCCUACCUCCAUUCGAGCGCGCCUUCGAGCCGUCGUCUUAUUUAUUUUCGAGCGCGCCUUCGAGCCCUCGACCAUCAAAGGUAGUGCAUUUUCUAUCCUACCUCCAUUCGAGCGCGCCUGGAGCCCUCGUCUACAUUCGAGCGCGCCGUCGAGCCUCGUCUUAUUUAUUUCGAGCGCGCCUUCGAGCCCUCGACCAUCGAAGGUGCAUUUUCUAUCCUACCUCCAUUCGAGCGCGCCUUCGAGCCCUCGUCUUAAUUCGAGCGCGCCUACGAGCCCUCGUCUUAAUUCGAGCGCGCCUUUGAGCCUCGUUUCCAUUCGAGCGCGCCUUCGAGCCCUCGUCUUACAUUCGAGCGCGCCUUCGAGCCCUCGACCAUUAAAGGUAGUGCAUUUUCUAUCCUACCUACAUUCGAGCGCGCCUUUGAGCCCUCGUCUUAUCUCCAUUCGAGCGCGCUUUCGAGCCCUCGUCUUAUCCAUUCGAGCGCGCCUUCGAGCCCUCGUCUUACAUUCGAGCGCGCCUUCGAGCCCUCGACCAUUAAAGGUAGUGCAUUUUCUAUCCUACCUACAUUCGAGCGCCCUUCGAGCCUCGUCUUAUCUCCAUUCGAGCGCGCCUUCGAGCCUCGUCUUAUUUCUCUUCGAGCGCGCCUUCGAGCCCUCGACCAUUAAAGUAGUGCAUUUUCUAUCUUACCUCCAUUCGAGCGCGCCUUUGAGCCUCGUCUUAUCUCAUUGAGCGCGCCUUCGAGCCCUCGUCUUAUUUUUUCGAGCGCGCCUCAAGCCCUCGACCAUCAAAGGUAGUGCAUUUUCUAUCUACCCUCAUUCGAGGCGCGCCUUCAAGCCCCCGUCUUAAAUCUAUUCGAGCGCGCCUUCGAGCCCUCGUCUUACAUUCGAGCGCGCCUUUGAGCCCUUGUCUUAUCUCUAUUCGAGCGCGCCUUCGAGCCCUCAUCUUUUAAAAAUAAAAAUAAAAAAAGAAAAAAGAAAAAAAAGGAUAGGUUGUCUUCCAAAGGACUUGUUUUCUCUAUAAAAGUCCUGUGUCAUCUCUGGUUUUCGAAGUUUUCAAGACUCUAAAAAAAGGCAAAGGUUCUUUCUGUAUCUAAUUUUUUUAUAAAUUUACUACACAAAGCUAAAAGAAAAUGAAUUUUCUUUUACAUUGCAUGUAAAUAUGAUAAAGAGGGGGCAACUGUCAUAACCCAAUUUUUAAACAAAUAAUAAAAAUUAAUAUAGUUAGUAAUUGGGUUAAGACAACAAAUCUUGAUGUUUAAGGAUAAAAUUAUCAGUUUUGAGAAUAAAUUGGUCAAAAAUUGAAGAAUUAAUAAGUUUGGAAAUUUACUUAAAAUUUGGAUUAGUUUAAUUAAUGAAAUUAAAAAAAUUAAUAAGUUUGUGGACUUAAUUAAACUUUAAUUUAAUUAAUUAAAUAAAUUCAGGGACUUAAUUGAAAUUUAUCCAAAAGGGGCAAAAUUGAAAGAAUUAAAUUAAGGACCAAAUUGAAUAAUCCAGGAAUUAAGGACUGUUUUGUAAACAGUGCACCAAUUUAGGGAUUUAAGUGAAAUUUAUCCAAUAAAAGGGCAAAAUUAAAAGAAAUUUUUAAUUUUGCUUAAGGGUCCAAUUGCCAAAUUUCUAAAGUUCAGGGAUCAAAAUGGAAGUGUCCAUUGCUGUUUGAAACGUCGUCGUCGGUGGUAGAAUCCCUUGCUGCCAAAACGCCGCCGUUGUUGGUGGAACAACCGUGUGAUCUUCUUCAUCCCGAUUCAACCGGAGACCUGAAAAUCUGCAACAAAUUCAAUCGUGGACCGAGUCCCUUGCACACGAUCUCGUUCGUGGAGGAUACAGUCCUGCAAAGGCAGGACUGAUUAGAGGCAAGCUUGGGGAUCUCUAUAAAUGAGAGACUAAAAACCAGACACAGGAAGGAGGAAAAAGCCAGAAAAAAAGACGAAAGAAAAAGCCAGAAAAACAAAGAAGAAAAACAACAAAAACAGAGCAAUUCUGUCGCACCCGACAGAGCAAACAAAACACAAUCAAAAAAAGAAAAUACAGAGAGAGGAACGAAGACACAGGGGAAGGGGAAACAGAAAAAAAAAAUAGAGAGGCACACAGAAAUACAUAAAGAAAUAACACGCAGAGCAGGGGAGAAAAAGGGAAGCACACACACAGACAAGGAUUGAUUAUCCCUGCCAUCGUGUUAUCCCUGCAAAAACACAAAAAAUAAAGACAACAAUCGGCAUCCACAGUAAACCGGCAUCUCCAUUGUUGUCUCCUUCGUCAUCUCAAAGUCUGUUAAAAACAAAAAGCAGACCGCGGGCACAAGAACGGAAAAAGCAGAAGAAAAGGUAUCAAGCAGGCGAAAGUCACCACCAGCGUUCCAGCCAGAAUCGUCCCCAUCGCCAGGUACGCGACUUCUUCCUCUUGCAUUGUUUCAGUAAUUGACAUUUACACUGUGCAAGUGAAUUUUAAUUCACUUGCAC
RNAcentral lists this long non-coding RNA (55944 nucleotides) under Populus tremula. RNAcentral describes it as "long non-coding RNA (PTRE_LNC003466)". Lineage: Eukaryota; Viridiplantae; Streptophyta; Magnoliopsida; Malpighiales; Salicaceae. The record is from RNAcentral.